RNAcentral lists this long non-coding RNA (66943 nucleotides) under Vitis vinifera (wine grape). RNAcentral describes it as "long non-coding RNA (VVIN_LNC006287)". The record is from RNAcentral. Lineage: Eukaryota; Viridiplantae; Streptophyta; Magnoliopsida; Vitales; Vitaceae.
UUUUAGAUGCGCACUGUCCGGAUCGUAUUUCAUCAAGCCCCUUGCUUCUACCUAUUCAUUCUAUGGUCAAUUGCUUCAAAUCAAAAAUUGAGGUAUGAUUCUCAUGCCACGUUCCUUUUUCUUUUGUACCCAUUGGAUUUACAUGGUGCUUUCGUGCAGGGGCGCAAGGUUAUUAAUAGGUAUUCUUCCUUCUAUGGCAAUGGGAUUGGUAUUGUUAUUCCUAGUAGUGGAAUUCUAGAGUGGAUAACGUAUCGGAAUAUGGGAAGGCAAGUAACAAUAGAGCUCCCUCCGAAUUGGUAUAAAAAUGAUGACUUGUGGGGAUUUGCUUUAUGCUGUGUUUAUGUUGCACCUGCCUGUAAAUCUGAGGAUGAAUCUCAGUAUGAAUCAGGUCUUAUAUCUGAGGAUGACAGUGACCUUAAAGAUGAAGAAGCAAGCUUUUAUUGUGAAUUGACAAUCGAAGGAAAUAAUCAAUCAGAAGACGUGGGUCAUUUCUUUCUUCAUUCUCGCUGUAUUAAGGAUGAUGUAUCAGAUAUGCAGUGGGUGAUAUGUUAUCCCAAGUUAGCUAUUGAGAAAAGUUAUCACACCAAUCAAUGGACACACUUCAAGGCUUCAUUUGGUGGUGCCCAAGUGGAAGAGUGCGGAAUCCGUCUUGUAUACAGAAAAGAUUAUGAACAGAAGCAUCCAAGAAUGGCACAAGGCAGUACUUCUCAUGGGAAUUUUGGUGAGCAUGGAUCAGUAAGAGAAGAUACUGAUAGUAAAGCUCACAAUAAAAGGAAUCCCACAGAACAGAGCCCAGGAGAGGAGUCACACCAUAAAAGAUCCAGAGAAACCCAAGACUGAUCUCAAGUAUUAGGCUCAACCACACUUGCAUCACUAAUGCUCUCUUUACUGGUAAUUCAUCUUCCUUUCUCUUUCUAAUUCAAAGGUCAGAAUUUUUUUUUUAUCGUGUUUCUCCUUUUUAUUUGUUUUUUUUUUCCCCAAGACAAACAAAACUUUGAGGCUAUCACCCAUGGGCGCAAACUUCAAUGGUACACCUCCCAAGUUUGUUUUUCUCUCUCUCCAACCGUCUCUCCCUAGAUUUUUCUGCAUUUUCUUCAAACUCAUAUUUCCAUAUGAAAUUCAAUUACAUUCGAGCAUUUCAAUCUCUGUAGCUACUGUCUGAAUCAAUUAUAGGGUUUCUUUUUUCUGGAAGUUUGUAAUGUUAUUGAUUUAAGACUUCAUGUUUGGGGAUGUUUUGGGUGGCUUGUUCACUGGUAUUACUUGUGAUAAUUGCAGCUCUGGUGCUUUCAAUGACUGACAAUAGUUGAAACUAUGUUGAAUGCUUGUACUAAGGGAAUGGACUUCAGCUGCUCCAGGGUUAGUGCUAUAACAUCAGUAUUCACUCUUCAAGAAUGUAUAUAGUUGUUGUUUUGGAAUUUUGAAAUUACUUAGCAUCAGACAAUUUCUAACUCGGGAUUUGGAUUGGGAACCAUAAGUUAUCUCACCCUAGUGUUCUUUGGAAUAAUUAUAGGAUUUUGUAAGUAACUUUGGACUUGUUAGCAAUGUUCUGGAUUUGUGAAUAAUUUAUAGAAUACAUUGGGUGUUUUUUUUUUUUGGUCCAUCAAAAACUUCAAGAACUUUGAGGGUGAAUAAUGUAUGACUGUACUCUUCUCUAUCUCUGUGGUCAUAGCACACGUAUGAUUUGGUGCUUUUUUGCAGGCCUUCAACAGCAGCAAAGCAUCUGGUGGCUUGCAGUACUAAUCUUGCAUUAUAUUCUCUGUUUUGCAAUCAUUUGGUACUUUUUGUCCCAACCAAGGAUAGCUCUGUGCAAGCAGUCUCGACUGUGGAACAAGUAAAACAAAUGGUACCUGCUGAAGCUGAGAGUGCAGAUGAUAAACUGGUGCGGAAGGUGGUCAACCAAAAGAAUCAGACAGCAAAAACUAAAAAGCCCAUGAAGCCUGCUACUGAAGCAGUCUCAGCACCUGUUUCUAGGAGGGGUGAGAUUGAAGUGACUGAAGAAAAGGAGCAUCAGCAAACAAAGAAGGAAGAGGAGUUGGCCAGGAAGGUAGAGGAAUUGAGAAGUGAAGAAGAAGCAGCCAUGUUGAAGGAGCAAAGUCUGUUGGAGGAGAGAAAGCCAACGUUAAGGAGGCACUGGAAAGGCAACAAGGAACUGCAGAAAAGGCCAAUUUCUCUGUGAGUGCUGCCACCUUUUCAUGAUACAGCCAUCAUAAUGGAUGUUAAAAGCAGUCUAACUCUACAUACUUCCUUGCAUUAUACUAGUCAUUGAUGGGCUUAAAUUUUAAUUUAAAUGUAGUAUAAAUAUAUAAGUAGAUUGAUUGGGUCUGAAUUUGAACCUGGUUCGAGUCAUACUCCCAUCCAAUCCAAACUUGUGAUUGGGCUUGAAUUUCUUGGCCCAACCAGCGAAAUCAUUGACCAACGGCCCUUAGUUUGGGCUGGGCUUGAUGGUCCUCAGGUUAUGUAGGCUUAAUACUGAUUGGGUUUGGGCUUCCAUGCAGUUGUACUUGGAUUCUAUGUUUCCUAAUAUUAACACUAAAUUAGGUUUAAUUUAUAAUUAAAUAUAAUUAGUUUGAGACUAACUCCAAUCUUUAGUUAAACCAACUAAGUUUUAUGCAAAGGUUUAUAUUCCUAAUACCAUCAGGUAUUAUAGUAAAUACCAUUGAAAAACUAAAUUCAUGUGGAAGUUUCACUAGGUGAUACGACAUUAAAUUAUUAAGAUAAAAUUAAAAAAAGAUCAUGCUCGUAUGUCCCGUUGUUUGUCAUAAGAGAAUUUCUUUCUAGAUUUUUUUUUUUUUGCUCUUUUCAAUUCUAGAUAUUUUAAUAUAUCUUUACUUUUUCAAAAACAAUCCAUAGGAUUGUUCCCAAACAUAUAUCAUAUAAAUAUAUAUUUUUAAGAUUGAUUUUUAAGAAUGUUAUCAAAUAAACUCAUAAUAGCAUUUUUUUCUUUACAAUUACCAAUUCGUAUGAUGAAUUAAUUACUUUCAAUAACCGACAUCAUCUAAUCAAAAUUAUAAUUAAGUAUCAUAUUAAAAGAGUGUUUAAAAAAUCAAAUUUAAUAACUUAAAGUGAUUUAAUAAUUUAAUUUAAAUUAUUAAAAUAACUUGAUGUCACAAUUUAAAGUUAGAAAUGACUUAAUUUAUUUUUAUUUAAAUUUAAAACUAAGUUUACAAAAAAGGUUUAAAAUUCAUAUCAAUUAAGAAAUUAAGUCAUUAAGUUACUUUAAGCCAUUAAAUUGAUCUACCAAUUAAACACCCUUGAAGAUAUUACAUAAAGUUCACCUUCUACAUAUCAUGAAAAUUUAAAAUUAAUUACAACAUCAAGAAUCUUUAGUUCCUAAUCGAUAUCAUAUUUAAUCCUUGGUUGUAAAUUUCUUUACAUAUGUAGAUAUAUUUUUAUAUUGCAAGUGGGUUGCCGACUUUUCAUUUUAUACUAGUUUUGAAAUUAAGAUUGUAGUUUUUAUUUUGUCCAAAUCUAAUUUGGAGGGAGAAUCUUUAGAGGCUAUUUUAUAUUCAAAUAGGAAAAUUUUAAAUUUAAUAGUCCCACCUUAUAAAGGCAAAUAUCUUGGACCCUACAUGGGUGCCUCUUACAUGCAAAAGGACAAAGACUUAUUGAAAGCCUCUCUCAUUCACAUGGAUGCCAUCAUUCAUCAAAGUUGAAACAUGAAACCCACACAAAAGCAAUUUCAAUAUUUUUUUUCAUAACUAUAGCUGAGAAUCUCAAUAUUAUUAAAUAGUGACAAAAUUAAUUUCAAUAUUUUUUUUUCUUAUUUUUUGCUCCUUGUGGUUAUAUUUUCAUCUGGAAAGUAUUAAAUAUAUUAAAAAAGAAAAAAAUUAUAAAAAAAUUUUUUUCCUAGUUAAUUAUACUAUGAAAAAUAUAGAGUAAAAUAAAAUAUAAUUAAAAUUAGUUAAAAAAUUAUAUUUUUAUAAAAUUAUUUGACUUUUUUAUAAAAAUUUAAAAUAAGUGACAUGAGUUUGAAAUAGUAUAUAUAUUGACUUUAAUUCUUUCAAAUUAAUCACUAGGUUGUUAGAGACAUACACCUAUGAUCCAAAGGUUUUCCCAACAAAGAUAUCAAUAAAUCUUUCUACUCCAUUGAUUGCAUCUUGAAUUCUUUCAAAUUAAUCACUUCAUUGUAAUCAUUAUUCACUUCAUUGUGAUUUGUCAGACAACAAUUCAUUUCUGCUUCAUGGUUGGACCUUGAGGUAAGGCUUUAGAGGCAUAAGCCUCAAAAGCCUCUUAAAAUUGGUUCUACACUUCUUGCAUGAUGAAUGCAAGUUCCAAAUUUUGAUGACUUGGUAAUGUUGGAGUAAUUGGGUUGAAAGCAGUCAAACACAAAUAUUUAUUAAAGAAGAUAAAAAUUUGGAAGAAUUAAAAUUUUAUUGUAUUCUACCACUCUUUUUUUUAUUCAAAUAUUACAUAAUCCUUUAUUAACUAAAAAUGACAUAAUUAAAAGUAAAUUAUCAUUUGAUUGCAAUGGAUUUAAUAGAAUAUGGUGGAUAUGCUAAAUUUUUGUCUGAUAAUAAAAUUUGAUUUGAGUGAAUAUAAUUAGAGUAAAAUAGUCUUUUUAACUAUCACUUUUACAAUAAAAAGUGUUUUAUUUAAACAAAUAUUUAAUAAAAUUUUAAAAACAUUUGAUAAAUAAUUAUUAUAAAAACUCUUCCUCGAAAAUACUUCAAAGUUCGUCGGAUGGUAAAUUAUACAUCAAGAUCUUAAUGAUGGUCCAUGCAACCAUCACCAUUGAUUGUUUUUGAAAACACAACUUCAAUUUAAAUAAUAUUUUAAGGUAACUCCUAGUUAUCAUAUUUUACAAGAUAUUUUUUAAAAUUAUUGUUUUUUUUCUUUCAAAAUCCUAAGAGAGAGGUCACCAAUAUCAAAAUAAUGUGACCCAUCUCUAUACUAUUGUCUCCAUUAUUUGGACUAUAUCAUAGUUUCCUUAUUGACAACAUGGUAGCCAUGUUAAAUACCUACAACUUUGAAAACAAGAUCUCAAAACUAUGCCUAUUUGAUUAUAAGGCUUAAUUAUUAUAGUUUAUCAUUUCCUAGCAUAUAUAGUUCUUAGCAUCUAAGUAUUUGUUAUAUAAGAAUUUUUCUCAUUUUUCAAGCUUGCAUUUUGUUUAGAAAUUUUUUGAGUUUUUUACAAUCAUUUUGAAAAUGUCAACUCAUAAUUAUAUACAUUUUAGUUCUAUAAGGACUAAAAUCACUUAACAUCAUGGUAAUACUAUUUAAGGUAAUUUGCUUUGAAUCAGAAUGAACUUAUAUACAACUUACGAUUUAUGGUAAUAAUAGAGAUCGAAUUUAAAAAUACAUAAGUUUUCAAUUAAAUAUUAAUAUAUUUAUGUUUCCUUCUUAUUUUUAAUCCUAAAACACAUUAAAUGUAUGCUCUUGAAUUCCUCCAUGUAAUGCGAUUUGAUAUAAUGAUAAAUCAACAAUUAUGAUUUAAUAAUAUGGUGCUUUGACUUUUGACAUUUAAGUAACACCGUCAAUAAAAGCUCCAUAUCUUUGCUUCAUGGAAGAACGUACAAAUGAUGUGAUUGAAUUACAUUUCAAUUAUGUUUGAUUCUUUGAAAAUACUCAAGAAAAAUAAAUAUUUAAAAAAAUAAUUUUCUCAUAUUUGAUUUUACUAUAAAAAAAAUACAUAAUUAAAAUUAGUAAUAAAUUUAAAUAAUUUUAAAUUACUUAAUCUUUAUAUAAAAAAGUUAAAUUAGUAAAACGAGUUUAAAACAUGAUAUAAAGGUAAUUUAUUGACUUUAAUUUUUUUUUUUUACUUCACUUUUUCUUUCCUUCUCUUUGAUGAGAUCAUCUUAGAUAAAUUGUUAAUUGAUUGCAGCAUAUUCAAUUGAAUUCGAUAGUCUAGGUAUCAUAAAUCAUACAUGUUGUGCACCAUUUACAGUAAAUGAACCGUCACAAACCAUACAUAGAGGAGAUGUUGAUUUCAUUAUAAAUCAUACGAUAAUUACAAAAGAUAUGAUAUUAACUUGCAGUAAAUUGCAACAUCGGCACUCUAAUGCUAGACAAAGUAACUAGACAAAGUAAGUCUAAUUAUUGCUAACUUUCCUCAUCUUUCUUGGGCCUUUUGGGUGCUUUUUGUGCAAAAGAGAAAAAGCUAUAACUAAAUUGCCAAUCCAUCACCGACGUUAUAGACUGAUGAAGAAUACCAAAGGGAGUGUUACGAAAUAAUGAGAAUAAAUAAUAAGAAAAAUAGAAUAAGAACACAUAGAUAUACGUGAAAAACUUUAGAUGGGAAAAAUCAUGAGAAAACGAGAAAAAGAUCCGUUAUGUCAAAAAUUGGUACAAAAUGGGAGAGUUGAAAGCGACUACAACAAAAGUAUAAUCAUCGUAACCCUAAAACUAUACAUCAUUAUUAUAUAUAUAUAUAUAUGUAUAUAUAUAUAUAUGCGAGAGUUGAGAACAACUAUGGGAUGAGGUCUAUCGACUCGAUCCCUUCACUACCCCCACAAAUCUCUCAAAAAAUCUCAUAAUUUUAACUUUACUACAUAUAUUGCAUCGCGAGCUUUUCGAAUUGAAUAAAAAAGAAUUUGGAAUCAUCAAACAGUAACAAAGGGAGUGAGAUCAUAACUUUGGAAGGAUUUUUUUUUUUUUUAAAUGUAGACUUGAAUGGUAAAUACUAAAAUGUGUUUGAGAGUGAUACUUGAAAGUAUUUUUAAUAUUUUUAAUAUUCGAAAAAUAAAAAAUUUUCAAAUAUUAAAAAUAUUUCCUAAAAUCAAUAUCAAAAACCAUUUUACAAAAUCAGUAUCAAACUAUCAAACAUAAUUUGAAUUUAAAUAGAGACAAGAACAACAUUGACUCUUGACUCACCAAACCAGUCCUAGUUCACUUAUUGAAUGAAAAGAAAAUAAUUAAAAAUAAAUAACAGCAUCCAUUCUACCAUGUUAUGAAGAGUAAAAGACAAUGGAGAUUUUAACUUUGUUGCCUUAAAAGUCAUGCCCCCUUUCAUGAGUAUAUAUAAUAAAAUAUAUUCGUUUGCAUCUCUUGAAUGCAAAUAAUUUGAUAAUUUUUUUAUAAUUAAUUUAUGAAGAUAACAAUUUGAUAAUUAGACAAUUAUGUUGAUAUUUUGACAUUAUUAUCAAUUUACCAAAUAAGAUUGUUUUUCACCCAACAAUAAUUUACUUAGAAUAAUAAAUAAAUUAAAUUAGCUAACGUAACCAAAGCAUUUGAUUAAAAAUUGGUUUUCAUUUACAAAGAUAAGUUGAAAAUUAAUUUUAAUUUGAUUUAAUUAGGAAAUUAAUUUUUUGCUUGUUAAGUUUGUUUUAAUUUGUAAAUUCAUGUAAAUAAAAAAAAGGAUAAAAAGAUAAUUUUCAUGUGAAAAUUCAUUUAAUUUGAAAAUAAAUGAUGUAAUGUGUUUCAUUGUCGGUUAGCAUUUUUCUUUUUUUCUUGUUUGUAUAACUUUUUAAAAUGUAAAAGAUAAUAAUAAAAUAAGAAAUAAUCAAUAAAUUAAAAAAAUAAAAUAAAUGAUCUCACUAAAAAUGUUUUUUUACCUUAUGUCAUAUGACUUGGAUUAUUUUUUUUCUCUUUUCAGUAAAACAAACUUUUAAUAUAAAUAAAAAAAUAAAAUAGGACAUAGAGGAAAAUAGCUAAAGAGUAUAAAAAAAAUUCAAAAUAAUGCACUAAAAAUGGAAAGAGAAUAUGGUGAGUAGUUGAAUAAUAAUAAAUAAAAAAAAGUCAAAAAAGCUUCAAUACUCUUUGAAUCCACUGUUAGUGAAUGCCAAAAGGCAUACAUCAUACACGCAACUAGAAAUAAAAUGGUAAAAUAUAAAGAAAAGAGUCAGAAAAAGCACGAAGACUACAAUUAAUAAUCGUGGCAGGACUUCGACUCUCGUGAACCCCCCACUGUCACUCAAUGCUAUAGGGUUACAGGCUUGGAGCCAAUCAAAGAUAAUUGAGACAGAAGAACCAGACAUCCUCAACACCAUCGUCUCAGACUCUCAGCAUUCAAAGACCCCUUUGUAUUUUCUUCUUCCAAAUUCUGUUCUUGUAAUUUUGUUACAAUCCAACCAUGGCUUCCACUAGCAAUCCCAAGAGACCCUCUUCUUCUUCUAAUUCUAAAUGGAGGUACGAUGUGGUCUUGAGUUUCAGAGGCGAGGAUACCCGCAACAACUUUACUAGUCAUCUCUACAAGGCUUUGGAUCAUGCCAACAUUGAAACCUUUAUAGAUGAUGAAGGACUUCCAAGGGGAGAAGAGAUUGCGCCCGAGCUCCUAAAAGCUAUUGAAGGAUCAAGGAUUGCCCUUAUUGUCUUCUCGAAAACCUAUGCUCAUUCCAAGUGGUGCUUGGAUGAACUCGUCAAGAUCAUGGAGUGCGAGAAAGAAAAGGGACAACAGGUUUUUCCUAUUUUCUAUCAUGUAGAGCCGUCUGAAGUCAGGAACCAGACUGGGAUUUAUGGAGAAGCAUUUAACAAUCACGAAAGAAAUGCAGACGAGGAGAAGAAGAAGAAGAAGAUAGAGCAGUGGCGGACUGCCUUAAGGAAAGCUGGUAAUUUGAGUGGAUUUCCUCUGCAGGAUAGGUAAUCCCUACUUCACUUUUUCCAUUCCCAAUUUUCUGUCAGUUUAUUUUCAUUCUUGUUAAUAAAUAAAAUAUUUAUGAUUACAUUUAUCAAUCAAAAUCCAUUUUUAAGUAGUAGACAUUAAUAUGUUCGAUUUCUUGGAAAGUAAUAAGAAAGAGUAAAAAAAAAAAAAAAAAAGAUUUUCUCACAUUUAAUUUAUUAUUAAAAUUAUAAAAGGAAAUCAAAUAUAAUUAAAAUAUAUCAGAAAAAAUUAUAUUUGCCCAGCAGGUGGAAAUGCCAAGUUUUGAAUUGUUAAAAAUCUUUAAGAUUCCAAAAUAUUCUUCCUUUCUAAUCGAUCCAUCUUAGCCAUAAUUUCUAUCAGUUAAAAAAAAUGGUAGUCUGUCAAAUAAAUUGUUAAAAUUGGUUAUUUAUAUGCCUUGUAAAUUUGGAGAUAAUCUGAGAUGAUUAUUUAAAAUAUUGUAAUACUACCCUAAAUUUUUUUGGACCCUCUUAUGGGACAAAAAACUUAGUUAUUGCACCCUUAACCUUUUUCAAUUUUAGAGGAAUUUUCCAUUACUUAAAUAAUUUUCUCUUCUUCUCUGUGCACUACAUGAGUUUACAUUUCUUCUUUACUUAAUAUUGUUUGUUCCUCUAUAUUUGCAAGUUGAUUAUUAAAUUUAUUUACCUUUUAAUCUAAUGUUUGUAUCUCGUUUUAUUCUAAUUAUCCCAUGACUCUUCUUAAGACCUUGUCUUUCACGUUGAAUCAUCUAAUGCUAAACUUAUUCCCUUACUAUUCUACUUUGUGUACUCAUGGGAUUAAUGUAUUGCAAUCAAAAUUAUUUUUUUUAAUCUCUUUUUCUCUUGUAUGUUCUACAUUCCUCUAUACCUCACAAAUAAAAGCAAGUAACCUUACAGCUUGUUUGACAAUAUAUUUGCAACUAAUGUUCAAAAAAUAGUUUUCCCCAACACAAUGUUGAAAAUAAUGAACAAAAUUUUAUUUGAAAAUUCAAAUAUGAAGAACGACUUUCUCGACUUAUUAACUAUGAAGGUGCUAUAAAUUUUUGUACAACAUAACAAUUCUCUAAGUAUUAUCUAUAUUUUCAAUUCUUUAUCACAAUACUCUAUAAGAAAAUACCUAAAAACAUUUCAAAUAUGCUCUUAAAAAUGAACUUGUUUACCAAACAAAUUUUUGAAAAUUAUUUUUAAUAAAAGAAAAAAUUAAAAAUAUAAUCAAGUGACAUGAAAUAUGGGAUGAAAAAUAAUAAGUUCUGUAUAUUAGAUUGACUAUACACACAGUUUAUAUUGGAUAUUACAAGAGAAGAAAUAAGAAACAAGAGACAUAAUAGAAAACUAACUUAUUCAUAAACUAACUUAUUCCUAAAUCAUAAAACUAUCUAUUUACAAAAAUAAAAAACUAAUAUAAUAUGAAAAUAAUUCUCCUAUUCUAUUUACAGCUCAAUUACAACCUAUUUACAGCUCAACACUCCCCCUCAAGCUAAGGAAUAGAUGUCUUCCAUUCCAAGCUUGAAUACAAGAUCGUGAAACAUUGAACUGUUCAGCCCUUUUGUUAGGAUAUCAACUAAUUGAUGUUUUGAUGGAACAUAGGACAUACACACUACUCCUUCCUCCAAUUUUUCUUUGAUAAAAUGCCUAUUAAUCUCAAUAUGUUUUGUCCUAUUGUGUUGUAUAGGGUUAUGAGCAAUAUUGAUAGCUGACUUGUUGUCACAAUAGAGCUUCAUAUGACCAUCCCACUUGAUUCUCAAAUCAUCUAGAAUAAUCUUCAGUCAAAGUAGUUCAUACAACCCUUGAGCAAUGUCCCUAAACUCUGAUUUUGCAGACGACCUUGCUACCACAUUCUGCUUUUUACUUUUCCAUGUUACCAGAUUACCUCGAGGAAAAGUACAAUACCCUAUAGUUGAUCUUCGAUCCACUAGGGAACCUGCAUAGUCAACGUCAGUAUAUGCUUCUAGAGUAAGAGUAUUGUUCUUUUUGAACAAAAUUCCUUUCCCGGGGUUGCCUUUCAAGUAAUGCAGCACCCUGUAAGCAACUUGAAGAUGAGGUUCUCUUGGAUCAUGCAUGAAUUGACUGAUCACGCUCACCGAGUAGGCGAUGUCUGGCAAGUGUGAGCAAGGUAUAUGAGCCUACCAACUAGCCUUUGGUACAUUCUUUUAUCCACCACUGGUUCUUCUUUAGCUUCUCCCAACUUGUGAUUUGGAUCCAUUGGGGUAGAGACUAGUUUACACCCAAUCUUCCUUGUUUCUGUCAAUAAAUUAGUCACAUACUUUUGUUGAUAGAUGAAGAUCUCUUGUGUGGAAUAUGCCACCUCAAUAUUGAGGAAGUGCUUUACUUUCCCUAGUUCCUUUAUCUCAAACUCUGUUGCUAAUCUUUGCUUCACUUCAUGCUUUUCUCUCUCAUCAUUUCCAGUCAUUAUGAUGUCGUCAACAUAGACUAGAAAAGCAAUUACUCCCCCUGUAGCCGAGUGCUUAAUGAAGAGAGUGUGGUCACCUUGGCUUUGCUUGUACCCAUACUCUUUCAUGACUUUUUCAAAUCUCUCAAACCAAGCCCUAGGAGAUUGUUUUAGCCUAUAAAGGGCCUUUUUCAGCCUACACACCUUGUUACCUAUGUUUCCCUCAAAUCUUGGUGGGAUGUUCAUGUAAAUCUCUUCAUCUAAAUCACCAUGAAGAAAUGCAUUCUUAACAUCAUACUAUAGGAGUUGCCAAUUGUAGUGGGUAGCCAAGGACAGUAGGAUUCUUAUAGUAUUCAUUUUUGCAACUGGAGCAAAAGCCUCCUGAUAAUCAACUCCAUAAGUUUGAGUGUACCAUUUGGCUACCAAUCUUGCUUUAUGUCUCUCAAGAGAUCCAUCAGUCUUAUAUUUCAGCGUGAAAAUCCACUUGCAAUUAACAAUGUUUUUCCCUUUCGUCUUUCAACAAUCUCCCAUGUUUUAUUAUUUUCUAAUGCAUUCAUCUCCUCUCUCAUAGCAUCCUUCCAUUCCCUUUUUGUCAAUACCUCAGAAACAGUGUUAGAGAUGAUAGUGGUGUUUAAACUCACAAUGAAAUUCUUGUGGGCUAGUGAUAGGUGCUUAAGAGACACAUAGUGUGAUAGUGGAUAGAGUGGUUAAUUAGUGCAUUAUCCGGUGCCUUUUCUGACAGCAAUGAGAAGGUCUAGGUCUAGGUUGUCUGUUGAGUCAAUGGAAGUUUCACCAAGUUGUGUAUGUAAAGGUGGGUCUAAUCUUACCGUGAUUUCAUUCCUAGGAUUUGAGUUGGAUUCUUGGACCUGCUAUUGUUCUGGAAUGACCUUUUCCCUUUAAUACAUCUUAGGAAACUGUGGAAAAUUACAAGUGACACUGGUUGGAAUAGGGAAUGACACGGGUUUAGUGGUAAAAUUGGGUGACUCAGGUGUGAUUAGUUCGGAUGACUCAAGUUCUUCAUCACCAUGGGUUGAGACAUGAGGAAGGUUAAGAGGUUCAAAGGAGUCACAAGGACUAUCCUCCAUCAUUGAAAUCUCCCCCUAAAUAGAGGACUUGGGAAAAAAGGUUUAUUUUCUGUGAAGGUGACAACUGCAGAGAUGUAAAAUUUUCUGGCUAAGGGAUUGUAACACUUGUAUCCUUUUUGAGUAGAUGAGUAAACCAAGGAAGACACAUUUUAUGGCUCGGGGGUCUAGCUUGUCUCUAUGAUGGUUGUGGACAUGAACAAAUGCAAUGCAUCAAAAUACACUAGGAGUGAGCCCAUAUGAGGUUCUAAAGUGUGGAUAGAAACUCUUAAGUAUCUCUACGGGGCUUUUGUUGUCUAACACUUGUGAGAGAAUUCUAUUUAUCAUGUAUGUGGCAGUAAGAACAGCUUCCCCCCAAUAGGACUUAGGAACAUUCCCUUGAAAGAGUAAGGCUCGGGUUGUGUUGAGUAAAUGCCCAUUUUUUCUCUCGGGUAUCCCAUUUUGUUGGGGUGUGUUAACACAUGAUGAGUCAUGGAGAAUGCCCUGUGAUUGAAAAUUGGGUGACAAAGUAUGGUUAAAGUAAUCUCUAGCAUUGUCUGUCUUAAAACUUUUUAUUUUAACCCCAAAUUGGUUUUGAACCAUUGAGUGGAAAUUAGGUAUAACAAUGCUAACAUCAGAUUUUUGUUUAAGAAGAAAGAUCCAUGUAAUCUGAGUGCAGUCAUCAAUUAAGGAUACAAACCAACGAGCCCCAUAAACAUUAGGUAUAGUCGAAGGACCCCAUAUGUCACUAAGAAUCAAAUGAAAAGGAUGAGAACUUCUUUUAUUGCUAAUAGGAAAAAAUUCACGAGUAUGUUUUGUCAAUUCACAAGUUUUGUAAUGAAACUUAGAAAUAUCUAAUCCUUGAAACAAAUGAGGAAACAUGACCUUUAAAACCCUAAAAGAUGGAUGACCUAGACGUAGGUGAUACAACCAAAUGGUAUCUUUAUUUAAGGAACUCUAAAAAGACACACAAAUUAUUACUAGUUUUCUGAGAUGAUUCAAGGUGAUAAAGACCGCUCAUUUCCUUAGCAAGUCCAAUCCUCCUUCCCGAGCCUUGUUCCUGAAAAACACAAUAAGAAUGGAAAAAAAUAGCAGAACAUUUAAGAUCAUGGGUAAGCUUUUGAAUGGAAACAAGGUUGGCCGACAAUUUUGGUACAUGGAGGACAUUUUUAAGAAUAAGGGUAGGUGUGAUAUAUAUGUCUCUGAAACCUGCAACGGUAACUAAAAAGCCAUUGGCCAUUGCAAUUUUCUUGUUACUUGGGUUUGAGGUAUAGGUAUGGAAAAGUUGAGAUUUGGAGGUCAUAUGGUCUGUGGCACCGAAGUCUAUUAUCCAAUAGUCAUUAUAAACCUUGUGUGAGGCAUUUAUGCAAAAUGAGAGUGAAGGUGUACCUGAAUUUUCCAACAUCUUCCACGAAAAAAAAAACCUGAUCUCUUGGGAAUUAAGGUAGAUCGCGAAACAAAAAAACCAGCAACAAUGAAGGUUGGUAAAAGAACACGUGAAUAAAAAAAAUCUAACUAUGAAGGCCAGAAAAAUGGCGAUGAAGGCCAGAAUGAUGCCCAGGUCUUAAAAACCUACUGCUCUGAUACCAUGACACGAAAUGUGGGAUGAAAAAUAAUAAGUUUUGUAUAUUAGAUUGACUAUAUACAUAGUUUAUAUUGGAUAUUAUAAGAGAAGAAAUAGGAAACAAGAGACAUAAUAGGAAACUAACUUAUUCCUAAAUCAUAAAACUAUCUAUUUACAAAAAUAGGAAACUAACAUAAUAGGAAAAUAAUUCUCCUAUUCUAUUUACAGCUCAAUUACAACCUAUUUAUAGCUCAACAUUAAGUUAUAAAACUAUUUUAUAUUCUAAAGAAAAAAAAAAUCUAUUUUCAAAAACAAUAUCUAUAUAAGCAUUUUUCUUUUAAGUAUGAUUUUAAAAUGUUUUUCCAUGAGUCUAAUUGUUGCUAGGAUUUUGACCAAUAAACAAAUAUGUGUGACUUUCCUCGUCAUUGUAAUUUAUAUUUGGGAAAAAAAUGGGGAUUUCAUCAAAAUAUGAAACUUAUGUAACAAUUAUUAGCAACCUAAAUAUAAAUAAAACUAAAACGGAGAAUUUACUUGUUUAUGGAAUAAAUAGUUGAAAAUUUUAUAAGCAUUGAGGAUGGUCAUAAAUCAUGUUGUAAUUAAUAAAAGCAUUUCUAGGUUAUGGAACUUGGGUGGCAAAUUGGUAGAUUUCUAGCCAAACUAGUAUUUGUCUCUAUAAUAAAAUCUCUUAUCAUAAAGGGUAAUGAUACUUUAGAAAGGUCAACUUCAAAUUGGGCCUUUAGAAGCAAUUAAGAUAUUUACAUUAUUUUAUUGCAUGUAUACUUGACAUGACAUAAUGAAAUUUUAUUUAAACAUGCAAUUCAACACAUUUUUAAUUUACAUUCUAUUUGACCUUAAUUUAAUGGCACCGAACGAAACUAAGAAUCAUUCUAUAAUUUCCAUUUACUUCAUCUUUGUUUUCUUUGACAAUUGAUUGUAGCUCACUGCAUGUUUUAUUGUACUUUAUAAUGGACAGAUUUGAGUCAGAGUUUAUUCAAGAAAUCAUUGGUGAGAUUCGAAGAUUAACUCCUAAGUUGGUACAUGUUGGUGAGAACAUAGUUGGAAUGGAUGAAAAUUUGAAAGAGGUGGAGUUAUUGAUAAACGCCCAAUCAAAUGGAGUGAGCAUGGUUGGGAUUUAUGGGAUUGGUGGGAUUGGUAAAACUACCAUUGCCAAGGUUGUUUACAAUGAUAUGUUAGAUCAAUUUCAACGUCACAGCUUUCUUGAAAAUGUGAGGGAGAAAUCUAAAGAUGAUCAUGGUUUGCUUGAAUUACAAAAAAAACUUCUUUGUGAUAUCCUAAUGGAGAAAAAUCUGAAGUUAAGAAAUAUUAAUGACGGUAUCAAAAUGGUAAAGAGGAAGUGUCGCAUUGAAAAGGUUCUCAUUGUUCUUGAUGAUGUAGAUUGUCAAAAACAAUUAAAAUUCUUAGCUCCUAAUUCUGAAUGUUUUCAUCAAGGAAGCAUAAUCAUCGUGACCACGAGAAAUAAACGUUGCCUAGAUGUACAUAAGUCAUAUUCAUCAUAUGAGGCUAAGGGAUUAGCACACACGCAAGCUAAGGAACUCUUUUGUUGGAAUGCCUUUCAGCAAGACCAUCCCGAGUAUGAGGACCUCUCUAAUUGUAUACUAGAUUAUGCUAAAGGCCUUCCAUUGGCUCUUGUAGUUUUGGGUUCUUUUCUCUAUCAAAGGGAUGUGGAUUACUGGGAAAGCACACUGCAUAAACUAAAAACAAACCCUCUUGAGGAUAUUCAAAAGGUACUCCAGAUAAGUUAUGAUGGACUAGAUAAUAAAUGGAAGGAGUUGUUUCUUGAUAUUGCAUGUUUCUUCAGAAAUGAGGAUAAAAAAGUUGUUACAAGAAUACUAGAAGGUUGCAAAUUCCAUCCUAAGUCUGGACUAACGGUUCUUCAUGAGAGGUGUCUUAUUUCUAUAACAGACGACACCAUAAGGAUGCAUGACUUGUUACAAGAAAUGGGUUGGGCAAUUGUUCGCCAAAAUUUUCCAGAACAUCCUGAAGAAUGGAGCAGAUUGUGGGAAUUACAGGAUAUUAAAAGUGUUUUACCACAAAAUAAGGUAGGAGAAAAAUACAUGAACUUACUUGAGAUCUAAAGACAUAUAAAAGAUUCAACAAGAAUUAUUUUUAUUAUUAUUAUAGUUUUGAGUAUCUUAUCUAUAUAAUUUUAGUGAAUCCCUAUGCAUCUUAUAUUGCUUAUUCUCAAUGCUUGUUUUCAGGGGACAAAAAACAUAGAGGGGAUAUCCAUAAAUCGGUCUUGGGAUAGUAAAAAACGUAUACAACUUACUGCUGAAGCUUUCAGAAAGAUGAAUCGACUUAGAUUGCUCAAAGUUAAAGGCGAUAUGGUGCAGCUUUCCUAAGACUUUGAAUUGCCUUGUCAUGAUUUAGUAUAUUUUCAUUGGGAUAACUACCCUUUGGAAUAUUUGCCAUCAAAUUUUCAUGUAGAAAAUCCUGUUGAACUUAACCUCUGGUACAGCAACAUAGAACAUCUUUGGGAAGGAAACAUGGUAUUGCUAUUAUUUAGUUAUAUUUUUGCUCUAGACUAAUUUUAAAGUCUUUUGAAGUUUACUUAUUGAAACGAAUUUUCUUCUGUUACAGCCUGCUAAAAAGUUAAAAGUCACUGAUCUUAGUUAUUCCAGGCAUCUGGUUGACAUUUCAAACAUCUCAAGUAUGCAAAAUUUGGAGACUCUAAUUCUAAAAGGUUGUACAAGGUUACUUAAGUGUUUCACCCAUGCUUAAUGUUAUUAUUAGUCAUGAACUAACUGUUUUCUUGAAUAUAAUAGGAUGCAAGAGACUUGAGAGUCUUCCAAGGAACUUUCAUAAGCUGGAAUGCCUUCAAACACUCUCUUGUGAUGGCUGUUCAAACUUAAAAGUUUUCCGAAGAUCAAGGAAGAAAUGAGAAGUCUAAGAAAGCUUAAUUUAAGUCAUACAAGUAUAAUGGAAUUAACAUCAUCAAUUAGGCAUCUAAAUGGGCUUGAAGAGUUGGACUUAAGUAAUUGCAAAAACCUUUUGAGUCUUCCGGACAGUAUUGGUAGUUUGAACUCUCUUCAAACUCUCGAUCUAGUUGAGUGUUCAAAACUAGUGGGUUUUACAAAUAUCAAUAUUGGAAGUCUAAAAGCUCUUGAAUAUUUGGAUUUGUCAUGGUGUGAGAACCUUGAGAGUCUUCCAAAUAGUAUUGGUAGUUUGAGCUCUCUUCAAACUCUUUUAUUGAUAGGGUGUUCAAAAUUGAAGGGCUUUCCAGAUAUCAAUUUUGGAAGUCUAAAAGCUCUUGAAUUGUUAGAUUUCUCACACUGCAGAAACCUUGAGAGUCUUCCUGUGAGCAUUUACAAUUUGAGCUCUCUCAAAACUUUGGGGAUUACAAAUUGUCCAAAACUCGAGGAAAUGUUAGAGAUUAAAUUAGGGGUUGAUUGGCCAUUUUCACCUCUAACCUGUCACAUUUCAAAUUCAGCAAUAACCUGGUAUGAUGACUGGCAUGACUGCUUUUCCUCAUUAGAAGCAUUAAACCCACAGUGCCCCCUGUCAUCACUGGUAGAAUUAUCUGUAAGAAAGUUUUAUGGCAUGGAAGAAGACAUCCUCAGUGGCAGUUUCCACCUAUCCUCAUUGCAAAUAUUAUCUCUAGGGAACUUCCCUAGCGUGGCAGAAGGAAUCCUCGAUAAGAUUUUCCAUCUAUCCUCGUUGGUAAAAUUAUCUCUUACUAAAUGCAAGCCAACGGAAGAAGGAAUCCCUGGUGAUAUUUGGAACCUAUCUCCACUGCAACAAUUAUCUCUACGUGACUGCAAUCUAAUGGAAGGAAAGAUCCUCAAUCAUAUUUGCCAUCUAACAUCCUUGGAAGAAUUAUAUCUGGGUUGGAACCAUUUUAGUAGCAUACCUGCUGGCAUCAGUCGACUUUCUAAUCUAAAGGCCCUUGACUUGAGUCAUUGCAAGAACCUUCAACAAAUUCCAGAGCUUCCAUCAAGUCUACGAUUUUUAGAUGCGCACUGUUCGGAUGGUAUUUCAUCAAGCCCCUCGCUUCUACCUAUUCAUUCUAUGGUCAAUUGCUUCAAAUCAGAAAUUGAGGUAUGAUUCUCAUGCCACGUUCCUCUUUCUUUUGUACCCAUUGAAUUUACAUGGUGCUUUUGUGCAGGACCGCAAGGUUAUUAAUCAUUAUUCUUACUUCUGGGGCAAUGGAAUUGGUAUUGUUAUUCCUAGAAGUAGUGGAAUUCUAGAGUGGAUAACAUAUCGGAAUAUGGGAAGGAAUGAAGUAACAGUAGAGCUCCCUCCGAAUUGGUAUAAAAAUGAUGACUUGUGGGGAUUUGCUUUAUGCUGUGUUUAUGUUGCACCUGCCUAUGAAUCUCAGUAUGAAUUAGGUCAUAUAUCUAAGGAUGACGCUGAACUUGAAGAUGAAGGACCAGGGUUCUGUUGUGAUUUGAGUAUCGAAGGAAAUAAUCAAUCAGGAGACGUGGGUUUUUUCCUUCUUUAUUCUUGCUGUGUUAAAUAUGAUGUGUCAGAUAUGCAGUGGGUGAUAUGUUAUCCCAAGUUAGCUAUUGAGGAAAGUUAUCACACCAAUCAAUGGACACACUUCAAGGCUUCAUUUGGUGGUGCCCAAGUGGAAGAGUGCGGAAUCCGUCUUGUAUACACAGAAGAUUAUGAACAGAAGCAUCCAGCAAUGGCACAAGGCAGUACUUCUCAUGGGAAUUUUGGUGAGCAUGGAUCGGUAAGAGAAGAUACUGAUAGUAAGCUCACAAUAAAAGGAAUCCCACAGAACAGAGCCCAAGAGAGGAGUCACACCAUAAAAGAUCCAUAGAAACCCAAGACUGAUCCCAAGUAUUAGGCUCAACCACACUUGCAUCACUAAUGCUAUCUUUACUGGUAAUUCAUCUUCCUUUCUCUUUCUAAUUCAAAGGUCAGAAUUUUUUUUUAUCGUGUUUCUCCUUUUUAUUUGUCUUUUUCCCCAAGACAAACAAAACUUUGAGGCUAUCACCCAUGGGCGCAAACUUCAAUGGUACACCUCCCAAGUUUGUUUUUCUCUCUCUCCAACCGUCUUUCCCUAGAUUUUUCUGCAUUUUCUUCAAACCCAUAUUUCCAUAUGAAAUUCAAUUACAUUCGAGCAUUUCAAUCUCUGUAGCUACUGUCUGAAUCAUUUAUAGGGUUUCUUUUUUCUGGAAGUUUGUAAUGUUAUUGAUUUAAGACUUCAUGUUUGGGGAUGUUUUGGGUGGCUUGUUCACUGGUAUUAAUUGUGAUAAUUGCAGCUCUGGUGCUUUCAAUGACUUUGACAAUAGUCGAAACUAUGUUGAAUGCUUGUACCAAGGGAAUGGACUUCAGUUGCUCUAGGGUUAGUGCUAUAACAUCAGUAUUCACUCUUCAAGAAUGUAUAUAGUUGUUGUUUUGGAAUUUUGAAAUUACUUAGCAUCAGACAAUUUCUAACUCGGGAUUUGGAUUGGGAACCAUAAGUUAUCAUUAGAGAGUGUAUGAGAAGGAAUUUUAGAGUGAGAUGGGUGAUGCAUGUUGAGGGAUGAAAGAGGGAUGUAUCUCACCCUAGAGUUCUUUGGAAUAAUUAUAGGAUUUUGUAAGUAACUUUGGACUUACUUGCAAUGUUCUGGAUUUGUGAAUAAUUUAUAGAAUGCAUUGGGUUUUUUUUUUUUGUUUUUUUUUUUGGUCCAUAAGAAACUAAAAGAACUUUGAGAGUGAAUAAUGUAUGACUGUACUCUUCUCUAUCUCUCUGGUCAUAGCACACGUAUGAUUUGGUACUUUUUUGCAGGCUUCAACAGCAGCAAAGCAUCUGGUGGCUUGCAGUACUAAUCUUACAUUAUAUUCUCUGUUUUGCAAUCAUUUGGUACUUUUUGUCCCAACCAAGGAUAGCUCUGUGCAACAGUCUCGACUGUGGAACAAGUAAAACAAAUGGUACCUGCUGAAGCUGAGAGGGCAGAUAAUAAAUUGGUGCGGAAGGUGGUCAACCAAAAGAAUCAGACAGCAAAAACUAAAAAAGCCGAUGAAGCCUGCUACUGAAGCAGUCUCAGCACCUGUUUCUAGGAGGGGUGAGAUUGAAGUGACUGAAGAAAAGGAGCGUGAGCAAACAAAGAAGGAAGAGGAGUUGGCCAGGAAGGUAGAGGAAUUGAGAAGUGAAGAGGAAGCAGCCAUGUUGAAGGAGAAAAGUCUGUUGGAGGAGAAAGCCAACGUUAAGAAGGCAUUGGAAAGGAAACAAGGAACUGCAGAAAAGGCCAAUUUCUCUGUGAGUGCUGCCACCUUUUCGUGAUACAGCCAUAAUAAUGGAUGUUAAAAGCAGUCUAACUCUACAUGGCGUUUAUUUUCCCCAGCCAUAGAUUGGAAUCUGCCAGUCUGACUCUCAUAAGAAAGAAAAUUUUCCAUCGAUCCUCGUAUGGAUUAUUGGAGAAGAUUUUAACAUGGAGUUCACAAGAGAGUUUCUAACACCCACUUAAAAGGACAUUUUAGAAAACUUAUUGAAAAAUAACAUGAGAGUACAUAAAUUUUUAGAUAUUUUUAAAAAUAUUUGAAAAUUUAAAUUAACUAAAAGUAUUUGAAAAAUAUUUGAUUGAAUUAACAAAUAUCAAGUAUUUGCAUAUGAAAAAAUAAUAAACAUUGUGAAGAAUUUUUUUAUUAAUUAGUGCAUAAUAAUUUUAUUUUCCUUUUAAUCACAAAUUAAUCUAUGGCAAAAUCUCAUAUUUGUUGUAGGGACAAUGUUGUCUUACAUUUUUCUUUCAUGAUGGACUCAAAUUUUAAUUUAAAUGUAGUAUAAAUAUAUAAUUAGAUUGAAAUUUCGUCCACUAAGAUUGAUUGGGUAUGAAUUUGAACCCUCGUUCGGGUCAUACUUCCAUCCAAUCCAAGCUUGUGGUUGGGCUUGAAUUUCUUGGCCCAACCAGUAAUGUCAUUGACCAAUAGCCCUUAGUUUGGGCUGGGCUUGAUGGUCCUCAGGCUAUGCAGACUUAAUACUCAUUGGGUUUGGGAUUCCAUGUAGUUGUAAUUAGAUUCUAUGUUUCCUAAUAUUAACACUAAAUUAGGUUUAAUUUAUAAUUAAAUAUAAUUAGAAGAGGAAAAUGAAAUAUCAUAUCCUUGCAAUGAGUUAUGUGGAUAUUUCAUUUAAAAAGUCUAAUGUGAAAGGUUGUUAUGGGUAGUCGUUUUUUGAUGCAAAUUUUCUAUGGAGUCCUAAUCUUAGAAGGCAAUAGAAAAUUCACAACCAAGAUUUCUUAAAAAUAACUACAUUAAAGUGUAAACAAAAUAUCAAACUAGAAUUUCUUAGAAAUAUCAAACUAGAAAGUGAAAUAUAAUACAAUUCAAGUAUGAAAAUGAAGGACAAAAGAAUAGACCAAAUUUGAAAGACCGUUCAAAGACUCGUUUCUUGUUACAAUCCAAUCAUGACUUCCACUAGUAGAGAUCCUCUUCUUCUUCUUCUUCUUCUAAUUCCAAAUUGAGGGACCAUGCGUUCUUGAGUACCCUCAAAAGCUUUUUUGAUCAUUUAUACUGUAUAACCUUACUUGUAAUAACUGUAUAAGAUAUUUGUGCUAAUUGAUAAGAUAUUUGUGCUAAUUGUAUAAAACAUGUCCUUAUACAUCUUGAAUUUAUAAAUUUAUGAAUUUAUGAAUAACCCAAUAAUCAAUGACUUCUUAAUAAAAUUUUUUUAAUUUUGUUGCCUUAAAAGUCAUGUCCCUCCUUUACAAAGCUUCUUAGAAAUUUCAUAUAUUUUUUUUUGUCAUCAUCUAUAUUUCAUAUUUCUUUUUCGUCUUCAAUAUUUGUGUAUAUAUCUAAAAUAAAACCUAUAAGAAAAUGAAAAAUUUACACUUAAAAAGUGUUUAUUUGAAAUUUAGGCAAUGAACUUAAAGGAGUUUGGAAUUACUCCUCGAAGUUGAUAUGUUUGUUUUAAAAUCAAAGUGGAUUUCAAUUUUCUUUAAAUCCACGUUAUGAUAUUACGGUAAUAUGUAGUGUCUUUAAAACCAUGGCUUCCUCUAGCAAUUCUAAGAGACCCUUUUACUCUUCUUCUUCUUCUAAUUCUAAAUGGAGGUACGAUGUGUUCUUGAGUUUCAGAGGCGAGGAUACCCGCAACAACUUUACUAGUCAUCUCUACAAGGCUUUGGAUCAUGCCAACAUUGAAACCUUCAAAGAUGAUAAAGAACUUCGAAGGGGAGACGAGAUUGCACCCGAGCUCCUAAAAGCUAUUGAAGGAUCAAGGAUUGCCCUUAUUAUCUUCUCGAAAACCUAUGCUCAUUCCAAGUGGUGCUUGGAUGAACUCGUCAAGAUCAUGGAGUGCAAGGAAGAAAAGGGACAAAAGGUUUUUCCUAUUUUCUAUCAUGUAGAGCCGUCUGAAGUCAGGAAACAGACUGGGAUUUAUGGAGAAGCAUUUAACAAUCACGAGAGCAAUGCAGACGAGGAGAAGAAGAAGAAGAUAGAGAAGUGGAGGACUGCCUUAUGGAAAGCCGGUAAUUUGAGUGGAUUUCCUCUGCAGGAUAGGUAAUCCCUACAUCGCUUUUUCCAUUUCCCAUUUUCUGUCAGUUUAUUUUCAUUCUUCUUAAUAAAUAAAAUAUUUAUGAUUACAUAUAUCAAUCAAAAUCCAUUUUUAAGUAGUAGACAUUGAUUAAUAUGUUUGAUUUCUUGGAAAGUAAUAAGAAGAGUUAAAAAAAAAUGAUUUUCUUAUAUUUAAUUUAUUAUUAAAAAUAUGAAAGAAAAUAAAAUAUAAUUUAAAUACAUUGGAAAACUAUAAUAGGAAUAAUAUUAGAUAAUGUAUGAUAGCUGUUGUGGGCUCAUUCAGUCACAGCAGGUGAUAACAGUCAAUAAAAUAAAAUAAUUAUCCCAAAUGCCAAGUUUUGAAUUGUUAAAAAUUCUUAAGAUUCCAAAAUGUUCUUAGUUUCUAAUCAAUCCAUUUCAGCCAUAAUUUCUAUCAAUUUAAAAAGAUGGUAGUUUGUCAAAUAAAUUGUUAAAAUUGCUUAUUUAUAUGCUUUGUAAAUUUGGAGGUAAUCUAGGAUGAUUAUUUAGAAAAUUGUAAUACUGCCUUAAAUUUUUCUAGACCCCUCUUAUGGGACAAAAAACUUAGUUAUUAAACCCUUUACCUUUUUCAAUUUUUGAGGAAUUUUCUAUUACUAAAAUAAUUUUCUCAUAUUCUCUAUGAACUACAUGAGUUUACAUUUCUUCUUUCCUUAAUAUUGUUUCUUCCUUUAUAUUUGCAAGUUGAUAAUCAAAUUUAUUUGCCUUUUAAUCUAUUGUUUGUAUCUCGUUUUAUUCUAAUUUUCCAUGACAUCAAGAUAAUUAAUCUCAUCUUAAGACCUUGUCUUUCACAUUGAAUCAUCUAAUGCUAAAAUUAUUCUCUUGCUAUUCUACUUUGUGUACUCAUGGGAUUGAUAUAUUGCAAUCGAAAUUGCAUUUUUUUUUCUCUUUUUCUCUAGUAUGUUCUACAUUCCUCUAUGCCUCAAUUACAAAUAAAAGCAAGUAACCUUAGAGCUUGUUUGACAGUAUUUUUGAAAAUAAUGUUCAAAAAAUAGUUUUCCCCUAGCCAAUUUUGAAAAUAAUGAACAAAAUUUUACUUGAAAAUUCAAAUAUGAAAAAUGUCUUUCUCGACUUAUUAACUAUGAAGGUACUAUAAAUUUAUGUACAAUUUAACAAUUCUCUAAUUAUUAUCUACAUUUUCAAUUUUUGAUCACAAUACUCUAUAAGAAAAUACCUUAAAACAUCUCAAAUGUGCUCUUAAAGAUGAACUUGUUUACCGAACAAAUUUUUGAAAAUAAUUUUUAGUAAAAAUGAAAAUUAAAUAUAUAUUUAAGUUAUAAAACUAUUUUAUAUUCUAAAGAAAAAAAUCUAUUUUCAAAAACAAUAUCUAUACAAGCAUUUUUCUUUUAAGUAUCAUUUUAAAAUCUUUUUCCAUGACUCUUAUUAUUGCUAGGCUUUUGACCAACAAACAAACAUGUGUCACUUUCCUUGUCAUUCUAAUUUAUAUUUGGGAAAAAAAUGGGGAUUUCAUCAAAAUAUGAAACUUAUGUAGCAAUUAUUAGCAACCUAAAUAUAAAUAGAACUAAAGUGAAAAUUUACUUGUUUACAAAAUAAAUAGUUGAAAGUCUUAUAAGCAUAGAGGAUGGUCAUAAGUCAUGGUGUAAUUAAUAAAAGCAUUGCUAGGUUAUGGAACUUGGGUGACAAAUUGGUAGAUUUCUAGCCAAACUAGUACUGGUCUCUAUAAUAAAAUCUCUUAUCAUAAAGGAUAAUGAUACUUUAGAAAGGUCAACUUCAAUUUGGACCUUUAGAAGCAAUUGAGAUAUUUUCAUUAUUUUAUUGAACAUAUACUUGACAUAACAUAAUGAAAUUUUAUUUAAACAUGCGACUCAACACAUUUUUAAUUUACAUUCUAUUUGACCUUAAUUUAGUUGCAUUGAAUGAAACAAAACACCAUUCUAUUAUUUCCAUUUACUUCAUCUUUGUUUUCUUUGGCAAUUCAUUCUAACUCACUGCAUGUUUUAUUAUACUUUAUAAUGGACAGCCCUGAGUCAGAGUUUAUUGAAGAAAUCAUUGGUGAGAUUCGAAGAUUAAUUCCUAAGUUGGUACAUGUUGGUGAGAACAUAGUUGGAAUGGAUGAAAAUUCGAAAGAAGUGAAGUUAUUGAUAGACUCCCAAUCAAAUAAAGUGAGUAUGGUUGGGAUUUAUGGGACUGGUGGGAUUGGUAAAACUACCAUCGCCAAGGUUGUUUACAAUGGUCUGUUAGAUCAAUUUAAGCGUCACAGCUUUCUUGAAAAUGUGAGAGAGAAAUCUAAAGAUGAUCCUGGUUUGCUUGAAUUACAAAAAAAACUUCUUUAUGAUAUCCUCAUGGAGAAAGAUUCGAAGAUAAGUAAUAUUGGUGAAGGAAUAAAAGAGAUAAAGAGUAAGUGUUGCUUUGAAAAGGUUCUUAUUAUUCUUGAUGAUGUAGAUUGUCUAAGACAGUUAGAAUUCUUAGCUCCUAAUUCUGAAUGUUUUCAUCGAGGAAGCAUAAUCAUCGUGACCACAAGAAAUAAACGUUGCCUAGAUGUACAUAAGUCAUAUUCAUCAUAUGAGGCUAAGGGAUUAGCACAUGAGCAAGCUAAGGAGCUCUUUUGUUGGAAUGCCUUUAAGCAACACCAUCCAAAAGACAAUUAUGUGGACCUCUCUAAUCGUAUACUGGAUUAUGCUAAAGGCCUUCCAUUGGCUCUUGUAGUUUUGGGUUCUUUUCUUUAUAAAAGGGGUGUGGAUGAAUGGGAAAGCACAUUGCAUAAACUAAAAACAACCCCUUUCAAGGAUAUUCAAAAUGUGCUCCAGAUAAGUUAUGAUGGACUAGAUGAUAUAUGCAAGAAGUUGUUCCUUGAUAUUGCGUGCUUCUUCAAAGAUCACAAUAAAGAAUUUGUUACAAGUAUACUAGAAGGUUGUGAUCUCCAUCCCAAGAUUGGACUAAAAGUUCUUGAUGAGAGGUGUCUCAUUUCUAUAUUGGGUGGCACUAUAAGGAUGCAUGACUUGUUACAAGAAAUGGGUUGGGCAACAGAUUGUGGGAAUAUGAGGAUAUUAAAAGUGUCUUUACAAAAAAUAUGGUAAGAGAAAAAUAUAUGAAUAUACUUGAGAUCUAGAUCUAAAGACAAAAGAUUCAACAGUCUUUAUUUUUAUUAUUAUUAUAGUUUGAGUACCUUAUCUAUAUAAUUUUAAUGAAUCCCUAUGCAUCUUAUACUGCUUAUUCUCAAUGCGUGUUUUCAGGGGACAAAAAACAUUGAGGGGAUAUUCAUAAAUUGUACUAAAGCAAAACCUAUACAAUUUACUGCUGAAGCUUUCAAAAAGAUGAAUCGACUUAGAUUACUCAAAGUUGAAGAGGAUAUGGUGCAGCUUUCCCAAGACUUUGAAUUGUCUUGUCAUGAUUUAGUAUAUUUUCAUUGGGUUGCAUACCCUUUAGAAUCUUUGCCAUCAAAUUUUCAUGCUGACAGUCUCGUUGAACUCAACCUCCAGUACAGCAACAUAAAACAUCUUUGGGAAGGAAACAUGGUAUUGCUAUUAUUUAGUUAUACUUUUGCUCUAGACUAAUUUUAAGGUCUUUUGAAGUUUACUUAUUGAAACAAACUAUCUUCUGUUACAGCCUGCUAAAAAGUUAAAAGUCAUUAAUCUUCGGCAUUCCAAGCAUCUGGUUGAUAUUUCAAGCAUCUCAAGUGCGCCAAAUUUGGAGAUUUUAAUUCUAGAAGGUUGUACAAGGUUACUCAAGUGUUUCACCCAUGCCUAAUGUUACUAUUAGUCAUUAACUAACUGUUUUCUUGGAUAUAAUAGGGUGCAUAAGACUUGAGAGUCUUCCAAGGAACCUUCAUACAUUGUGAAGAAUUUCUGAACUCCUUUAUUGAUAUUUUAUCGGUACACACCAUACACAUAUAUAUACACAUAUAUAUACACAAAUGACUGAAUAAGAAAGAAUCAAUCUAGCUUAAUUCUCUCCUAAAAUUAGGAAACUAAAUCAUAAGGAAAUAUCCUAAAUGAUCUCUCAUUUUUUAUUCCUAAAUUAAAGUCCUAACUUUGGCAUUAUUUCAACACUCCCCCUCAAGCUGGAGAAUAUAUAUCAUAUAAUCCCAGCUUGCAAGUUAAGUCUUCGAAGUUAGGCCUAGGUAAAGCUUUGGUGAGGAUGUCUGCGGUUUGGUGCUUGGUAGGAACAUAGUUCAAUUUGACCGUCUCACUAGUCACCUUCUCUGUGAUAAAGUGUCUGUCAAUCUCAACAUGCUUGGUCCUGUCAUGAUGCACGGGGUUCUUUGCUAUGCUUAUAGCUGCCUGAUUAUCACACAUCAUCUGAAUUGGAGAUGAACUCGUUUGUCCCAGUUCACUAAGAACCCUUUUUAUCCAAAUCCCUUCACAGAUUCCCUGUGCAAGAGCUCUGUACUCAGCUUCUGCACUACUUCUGGCUACAACUGAUUGCUUCUUACUCCUCCAGGUAACAAGAUUUCCCCAGACAAAAGAACAAUAUCCGGAAGUGGACCGCCUGUCAAUGAUGUUUCCUGCCCAAUCCGCAUCUGAGUAUACUUCAGUGUCACGGUUCUCUGUCUUUCUGAAGAAUAGGCCUUUCCCUGGUGUCAUUUUUAAAUAUCUAAGAAUCCUGUAGACUGCUUCCAUGUGUUCCUCAGUGGGGCUGUGCAUGAAUUGACUUACAACACUCACUGCAAAGCCAAUAUCUGGCCGAGUGUGUGAGAGAUAAAUCAAGCGCCCGACAAGCCGCUGAUAUCUCCCCCUGUCUACUGGUGUACUUUCUUUCUCGAUACCAAGUUUCUUCUGACUAUCCAUAGGAGUAUCAAUUGGUUUGCAUCCAAGCAUACCGGUCUCCUUAAGAAGAUCGAGUAUGUAUUUUCUUUGAGAGACUACGAUUCCCUUCCUUGAUCUAGCCACUUCCAUACCAAGGAAAUAUUUCAAAUUUCCAAGGUCUUUAACUUCAAACUCUUCUGACAAAUACUUCUUCAAAUUCUGUAACUCCCCCAUAUCAUUCCCAGAUAGAAUAAUAUCAUCGACAUAGACUAUCAAUAUGGCCAAUUUCCCGGCAUGAGACUUCUUGACAAAUAGAGUAUGAUCAGCCUGACCUUGUUUGUAGCCCAGCUUCAGGACUGCUUUUGUGAAUCUAUCAAACCAGGCUCGAGGAGAUUGUUUAAGGCCGUACAAGGAUUUUUGGAGUUUGCAAACCUGAUUCUUUGCCAUACUUUCUUCGAAACCAGGUGGUAUUUCCAUGUAGACUUCCUCUUCUAGGUCCCCAUUUAGAAACGCAUUUUUUAUGUCCAGUUGUUGCAAGCACCAAUCUUGAUUGACAGCCAAUGAGAGAAGGAUCCUGAUAGUGUUCAGUUUUGCAACAGGAGCAAAAGUUUCCUGAUAGUCUAUCCCAUAGGAUUGUGUAAACCCUCUAGCUACCAAACGAGCCUUGAAUCUUUCGAAUGAUCCAUCUGCUUUGUAUUUUAUGGUGAAAAUCCACUUGCACCCCACAGGCCUCUUCCCAACCGGCAAAUCUGUGAUAGUCCACGUCCCAUUCUUCUCAAGUGCAUCAAUCUCAUCUUGUACUGCCUUCUUCCAUUCUGAAAUUUUUAAUGCCUCUUGUAUUGUGUUGGGAACCUGAGUAUCAUCAAGAGAAGUAGCAAAUGCUCUGUAAGAUGGUGAUAAUCCUUCAUACGUAACAUAAUUCCCAAUUGGAUGAUCUGUACAUCUCCUAACACCCUUCCUCAAUGCAAUUGGCAAAGUAGAAUCAUCAAUGCUGGGAAUUAACACCUCUCCAUCCCUAUCCUCACCUAUGUUCUCUUCAGGAAGACUUGAAUUGGAGUCAAUAUAUUGGCCACAUGUUGACUGUGAUCCGUGCUCUAAUUCCUGUCUUUUCCUCCUCCUGAUGUAAACUUGUAAGUUCUCAUUAGCAAGUUGUGGGCUAUAGGUUGAAUAGGCAUGGGAGACUGGAUGGUCACGGGAGAAGGAACAUUUGUGUGCUGGGCUGGCUGAACUGAUGGCGGCAUGGGUGUGGACAACUCAGUGGGCGUGAAUUGGGAAGGAUUUGGUGACUCUGAGUGAAAAGAAGGUACACCCUCAAGAAAAGACUCCCAAACUUGAUGUUCAUUCAUGCUCUCCCCCUGAACAUGAGAUUUGGGAUAGAAGAAGACAUGUUCAAAGAAAGAGACGUCCAUGGUGGUGUAAAAUCUUUUGUUGGUUGGAGAAUAGCAUUUGUACCCUUUUUUGGUUGGAGAAUACCCUAGAAAAAUGCACUUAUUUGCUCGAGGAGCAAAUUUGCUACAAUUUUGAGGAUACACAUGAACGAAUGCUGUGCAACCAAAUACUUUGAGUGGUAAAUCAGAAGAGGCGGCAUGGGUGUGAGGAAACUGUUUUAAGAAAAGUUGACGUGGGGAUUGAAAGGUAAGCACUCUGGAUGGCAUACGGUUAAUCAAAUAGGUAGCUGUGAGAAUAGCUUCCCCCCAGAAAUAGUUUGGAACCUUAGAGGAAAACAUAAGGCACCGGGCAACCUCCAAGAGAUGUCUAUUCUUGUGUUCAGCCACCCCAUUUUGUUGUGGGGUGUCAACGCAAGAACUUAUGUGGAUAAUGCCAUGAUUUUGAAGAUAAGUACUGAGACUACUAGUAAAGUAUUCCUUUGCAUUAUCUGACUUGAGGACUUGUAUUUUGGAAUUGAAUUGAUUUUGAACCAUAAGAUUGAAGGUUUGAAAAAUGUGCCCGACCUCUGACUUUUCUUUCAUAAGGAAAACCCAUGUUACCCGAGUAUGAUCAUCAACGAAUGUCACAAACCAUCGAGUGCCAGAAAUAUUUUUUAUCCGGGAGGGACCCCACACAUCACUAUGUACUAGAGAGAAAACAGUCGAAGGUUUGUAUGGGAUUUGAGGAUAUACUGUUCGAGUAUGCUUUGCAAACUGACAAAUUUCACAGUGAUAAGAUGCUGGAUUUUUAUUGAUAAAUAAUUUGGGAAACAAUUUCGCAAGGUAAACAAAGCUAGGAUGACCAAGGCGAUAGUGUAACAUUAUAAUCUUACUAUCUUUAUUGACCUUAGAAUUUGACACAGAAUUGAAAGACUCUGACAUACUCUGAGACUGUACGCAACUUGCUUGAGAGACUUGGUUUGAGAAUUGGCCACAUGAAAGGAGGUAGAGCCCGGAACACAGUUCAGCACUGCCAAUCAUCUUCCCCGAUUUCAAGUCCUGAAAAACACACAAGUUUGGAUAGAAUUUAGUAACACAUUGGAGAUCACGAGCCAAUUGGCUAAUGGACAAAAGAUUACAAUCCAAGUUUGGAACAUGGAGGACAGAGUCAAGAUAUAAGUCUUUAGUAAGUUUUAUAGAACCUGUCCCGGCAAUUUUUGACUUUGAACCAUCAGCAAUAUGGACGGAUGAAUGACCAUUACUUGGCUUGUAAUUUUGAAGAAUGGCAGCAUCUCCUGUCAUGUGAUCAGAAGCACCUGUGUCUACUAUCCACGGCCUCAUUCCUCCUCGAUUAGCAGUGAAGGCUACACCGGUAGUACUGCCGCUGCCAACUUGGCUUAAUAAUUUCUGUAGCCUCUCCAUCUGCUCUUUGUUGAAUGGACUCGGCUCGGGAACAGAUGUGCUCUCAGAGUUGGCAGCCACGUGUGCUCUGCCAUCUCUGUCAAACCGUGGCUUUGGUUUCCAAUCAGCCGGUUUGCCAUGAAGCUUCCAGCAAGUCUCCUUAUAAUGGCCUGGUUUCUUACAAUAAUCACACCAAGGCCUAUCCCGUUUCUGACGAUCUCCACCACUACUAUUAAAUGACCGAGCAGCAAGGGCAGAGGCAUCCAAUGUUGGGGCAGGUUGCUCUUUUGAUCCCAUCAUCACUUUCUUUCUACUUUCUUCACGCCUAACCUCUGAAAAAGCCUCCCUGAGACUUGGCAGGGGUUUAAUGCCCAUGAUUCGGCCUCUAACAUCAUCCAAUUCCCUGUUUAGUCCUAGGAAGAACUUGAACAGUCUCUUUUGUUCCACAAUUUGCCUGUAUGUUGCUGCAUCAUCCGAACAUUUCCAUGAGUGAGUCUCAAAUAAGUCAAGUUGCUGCCAAUACCUUGUGAGUGUGUUGUAAUACUGAGUAACUGACUGCUCUCCUUGGCGGAAGUCAUGUAGAGCUGAUUCAACCUGAAACAGUUCUGAAGUAUUUUCAGAACUUGAGUAAGUUUCUUUGGCUGCAUCCCAUAUGUCCUUUGCAGUCCCAAACAACAAGAAAUUUUCGCCUAUGUCAUUGUUCAUGGAAUUGAUAAGCCAUGACAUGAUCAUGCUGUUUUCAAUCUUCCACUUCCUAAAACCCGGUUCUGUAGUUUCUGGCAUGACUGCUUCUCCAGUGAGGUACUCAUCCUUUCCUUUACCGCAAAUGAACAGCAACACAGAUUGUGACCACUGUAAAUAGUUAUGGCCAUUUAAUUUGUGUCCUGUGAUGAGAAUAGGAGAGGAAUCAUUGCCACCAAGGUUUGGAAUUUCAGAUCUGCCCCCUGAUUCUGGUGACGUGACGCUGGAUACUUGUGAUGAUGCCAUUCUGUAUUUUGUCAUGGACCGGAAAGGUAGAAGAACACUUCCCAAGGCACGUGCAGGGACUGGAGUUGAGAAAAAAUAGCCGGAGGACGCCGGAAAAUCUUAUCAGAGGGCCCGCGGAAGCAAAAGAACCCCAAAAGAGGCACGUGCAGGGCUCGGAUUGCACAAACAGGUAGGAAGGGUGGCUGGUCGGCGUCAGGCGAGCCUGGAGGAGGAAGCGCGUCGCCGGAAAGUGGCUCACGUGCCCUCACGCGCCGGCGCGUGAGAUGCAGUCGCCGGCCGGAAAAACGCGCGUGGGCGGCGCGUGGAUGGGUUUCUGGUUCCGGUGCUUUGGGACAAAUUGGAGAUCUCCUCCAGGCGCUCCUUGCGGUGUAGAAAAAAAACCGUCGCCGGAAAGUUCGCCGGAAAAUUUUGCCGACGGUGAGUGUUUUCUGACGACGAUUCGACUGAUCGGAAAGCUUUUUCUCCCUUGGCUCUGAGAACAGGGACUGAUGACCGGAAUGAGAGAGAGAGAGAGAGAGAGAGAGAGAGAGAGAGAGAGAGAGAGAGAGAGAGAGAGAGAGAUGAUCGGAUUGAGAUAUGGCCAGAGAGAUUUGGCCGGAAUGAGUGAUGGCCUGAAUAAGAGGUGGCCAGAAGGGAUUAGGGUUUCAGAAAACUGGCUCUGAUACCAUGAAGAAUUUCUGAACUCCUUUAUUGAUAUUUUAUCGGUACACACCAUACACAUAUAUAUACACAAAUGACUGAAUAAGAAAGAAUCAAUCUAGCUUAAUUCUCUCCUAAAAUUAGGAAACUAAAUCAUAAGGAAAUAUCCUAAAUGAUCUCUCCUUUUUUAUUCCUAAAUUAAAGUCCUAACUUUGACAUUAUUUCAACACAUUGGAAUGCCUUCAAACACUCUCUUGUUAUGGUUGUUCGAAGAUGAAGAGUUUUCCGGAAAUCAAGGGUAAUAUGGGAAGUCUAAGAGAACUUGAUUUAAGUGAAACAGAUAUAAUAGAAGUACCAUCAUCAAUCAGGCAUCUACAUGGGCUUAAAACCUUGAAGUUAAGUGAUUGCUUAAACCUUGUGAGUCUUCAGGUCGGUAUUUGUAGUUUGAGCUCUCUUCAAACUCUUUUGAUGGAUGGGAGUUUAGAACUAAAGGCCUUUCUAGAUAUCAAUAUUGGAAGUCUAAAAGCCCUUGAAUGGUUAGAUUUGUCAUAUUGCGAAAACCUUGAGAGUCUUCCGGAUAGUAUUUGUAGUUUGACCUCUCUUCAAACUCUUUUGCUGAAUGGGUGUUCAAAACUGAAAGCCUUUCCAUACAUCAAUAUUGGAAGCCUCAAAGCUCUUGAAUUGUUAGCUUUGUCAUAUUGCGAAAACCUUGAGAGUCUUCCGGACAGUAUUUGUAAUUUGACAUCUCUUCAAACUCUCAUGUUAAAAGAGUGUUCAAAAUUGAAGGGCUUUCCAGAUAUCAAUAUUGGAAGUCUAAAAGCUCUUAAAUUGUUAGAUUUGUCAUAUUGCGAAAACCUGACAGUAUUUGUAGUUUGACCUCUCUUCAAACUCUUUUGCUGAAUGGGUGUUCAAAAUUGAAGGCUUUUCCGGAUAUUAAUAUUGCAAAUCUAAAAGCUCUUGAAUUGUUAGAUUUUUCAUAUUGUGAAAACUUUGGGAGUCUUCCAGAUAGGAUUUGUAGCUUAACCUCUCUUCAAACUCUUUUGUUGAAAAAGUGUUCAAAAUUGAAGGCCUUUCCAGAUAUCAAUAUUGGAAGUCUAAAAGCUCUUAAAUUGUUAGAUUUGUCAUAUUGCGAAAACCUUAAGAGUCUUCCAGACAGUAUUUGUAGUUUGACCUCUCUUCAAACUCUUUUUUUGAAUGGGUGUUCAAAAUUGAAGGCCUUUCCAGAUAUCAAUAUUGGAAGUCUAAAAGCUCUUGAAUUGUUAGAUUUGUCAUAUUGCAAAAACCUUGAGAGUCUUCCGCAUAGUAUUUGUAGUUUGACCUCUCUCCAAACACUUUUGUUGAAUGGGUGUUCAAAACUGAAGGCCUUUCCAGAUAUCAAUAUUGGAAGUCUAAAAGCUCUUAAAUUGUUAGAUUUGUCUUAUUGCAUAUACCUUGAGAGUCUUCCGCACAGUAUUUGUAGUUUGACCUCUCUUCAAACUCUUUUGUUGAAUGGGUGUUCAAAAUUGAAGGCCUUUCCAUGUAUCAAUAUUGGAAGUCUAAAAGCUCUUAAAUUGUUAAAUUUGUCAUAUUGCGAAAACCUUGAGAGUCUUCCGGAUAGUAUUUGUAAUUUGACCUCUCUUCAAACUCUUUUGCUGAAUGGGUGUUCAAAACUGAAGGCCUUUCCAGAUAUCAAUAUUGGAUGUCUAAAAGCCCUUGAAUUGUUAGACUUCUCAUAUUGCAAAAACCUUGAGAGUCUUCCGCACAGUAUUUGUAGUUUGACCUCUCUUCAAACUCUUUUGCUGAAUGGGUGUUCAAAACUAAAGGCUUUUCCAGAUAUCAAUGUUGGAAGUCUAAAAGUUCUAGAAUUGUUAGAUUUGUCAUAUUGCGAAAGCCUUGAGAGUUUUCCGGACAGUAUUUGUAGUUUGACCUCUCUUCAAACUCUUUGGCUGAAUGGGUGUUCAAAACUGAAGGUCUUUCCAGAUGUCAAUAUUGGAAGUCUAAAAGCUCUUGAAUUGUUAGAUUUGUCAUGUUGUAAAAAGCUUGAGAGUCUUCCGAUGAGCAUUUGCAAUUUGAGCUCUCUCAAAACUCUGCGGAUUAAAGAUUGUCCAAAACUCAAGGGAAUAUUAAAGAUGAACCUAGGGGUUGAUUUAUGCUCCUCGAGAUCUUUGAAUCUGACUUGUCACAUUUCAAAUUCAGGAGUAAUCUGGGAUAAUGACUGCUUUUCCUCAUUAAAAGCAUUAAAUCCAUGGUGCCCCCUGUCAUCACUGGUAGAAUUAUCUGUAAGAAACUCUAAUCUCAUGGAACGAGACAUCCUCAGUGCUAGUUUUCGCUUAUCCUCAAUGCAAAUAUUAUCUCUAAGGAACUUCCCUUUGAUGGUAGGAGGAAUCCUUGAUGACAUUUUCCAUCUAUCUUCAUUGGUAGAAUUAUCUCUUAGUGAAUGCAAUCUGAUGGAAGUAGGAACCCUCCAUUAUGUUUGGAACCUAUCUUCACUGCUAAGAUUAUAUCUAAGAAACUGUAAUCUAAUGGAAGGAGAGAUCCCCAAUCAUAUUUGGCACCUAUCAUCAUUGUGUAGACCCUCAAUUUUGUCCCUUUAGCACAUGUCUUUAAAAUUCGUUUUCAAUGCUCCACAAUAGUUCCUUGGUGGCCCAUGGCUACUCAUACCACUUACCUUUUUCUGAGUCACCUCGGAGAUUUUGGUUGAGGGAUUAUUUGAUCCCUUAUUGUGACCCUUGGCAGCCCUAACUUAGACUUAGGCUUUUCUUGUUUUUUUAGGAUAGCUUUUAGAUACACUUGGCCCAUUAGGCACUACCCUAGGCCCACUUAGUCUCACCUUAGGCCCGUUUAGGCACACUAGGCCUACGAAGACUUUUAUUUUAUUUUAUUUUAUUUUAUUUAUUUAUUUAUUUAUUUUGUUUUUAGUUUUAAUUUUAUGAUUAUCAUUCACUUUUUAUUGGUUAUCUUCCUCUUUAUAUCAUUUUCCUUAACUUAUUUAUUUAUUUAUUAUUUUUACCAUUUUUUAAUUUAUUUACUUAUUUAUCUAUUCAUGCAAUUAUUUAACUUCAAAAAUUUCAUGUUUUUGCAAGGAAACUUACCAUUGGAGUUUAAGGAAGGCGGGACUCUCCUUGGAAGGUUUUGGAGGGGAAUUUGAAAUUGGGAAGAUUGCUUUUGAUUGGAGGAUUUAAAAAAAGAAGAGAAGAAGAAAGGAAAGAGGAGAAUUUUCCUUUUUGGAAACAAAUUUAGGUCUUGAGGGGUGAUAUAUAUAGGUGAGAAAAGGAAAAGAAUAGGGGGAUUUUUCUAGGGGGGCAGGGCACACGGAAUUUUGAAAAAAAAGCAAGGGACUUCGAACGGAGAUCGGGCUGUCAUUUAAUCAUCAAGAGAGGAUUUUCUCUCACUUCAAAGGUUAGUUUUCUAUAUAGUACUUUUAUUUAGCCUAGAUUUUUUUUUUUUUUUUUUUUUUGGAAAUUUUAGUUUUUGAUUAAUUCUUUGUGUUAAAGUUUAUAUUAUUUUCUUUUUAAAUCCCCAAUUAGUUUAAUUCUAAUCUAUCUUUUAGUUUAAGUUUGUUAAUGAUUUUAAUUCUUAAGUUUAAAUAAUCCUAUCGAAUAAAGUUUGUAUUUUUAAUCCCAAUUAGUUUGAUUUUAAUUUGUUUUUUAGUUUAAAUGUAUUUUGUUGAUCUUAAUUCUUGACUUUAAAUAAUCAUGUUAAAUAAAGUUUGUGUUUUUAAUCUCAAUUAGUUUGAUUUCAAUUCGUUUUUAGUUUAAAUACAUUUUGCUGAUCUUAAUUCUUUAGUUUAAAUAAUCAUAUCGAAUAAAGUUUGUAUUUUUAAUCCCAAUUAGUUUGAUUUUAAUUUGUUUUUUAGUUUAAAUGUAUUUUGUUGAUCUUAAUUCUUUACUUUAAAUAAUCACGUUAAAUAAAGUUUAUGUUUUUAAUCUCAAUUAGUUUGAUUUCAAUUCGUUUUUAGUUUAAAUACAUUUUAUUGAUCUUAAUUCUUAAGUUUAAAUAAUCAUAUCGAAUAAAGUUUGUAUUUUUAAUCCCAAUUAGUUUGAUUUUAACUUGUUUUUUAGUUUAAAUGUAUUUUGUUGAUUUUAAUUCUUANNNNNNNNNNNNNNNNNNNNNNNNNNNNNNNNNNNNNNNNNNNNNNNNNNNNNNNNNNNNNNNNNNNNNNNNNNNNNNNNNNNNNNNNNNNNNNNNNNNNNNNNNNNNNNNNNNNNNNNNNNNNNNNNNNNNNNNNNNNNNNNNNNNNNNNNNNNNNNNNNNNNNNNNNNNNNNNNNNNNNNNNNNNNNNNNNNNNNNNNNNNNNNNNNNNNNNNNNNNNNNNNNNNNNNNNNNNNNNNNNNNNNNNNNNNNNNNNNNNNNNNNNNNNNNNNNNNNNNNNNNNNNNNNNNNNNNNNNNNNNNNNNNNNNNNNNNNNNNNNNNNNNNNNNNNNNNNNNNNNNNNNNNNNNNNNNNNNNNNNNNNNNNNNNNNNNNNNNNNNNNNNNNNNNNNNNNNNNNNNNNNNNNNNNNNNNNNNNNNNNNNNNNNNNNNNNNNNNNNNNNNNNNNNNNNNNNNNNNNNNNNNNNNNNNNNNNNNNNNNNNNNNNNNNNNNNNNNNNNNNNNNNNNNNNNNNNNNNNNNNNNNNNNNNNNNNNNNNNNNNNNNNNNNNNNNNNNNNNNNNNNNNNNNNNNNNNNNNNNNNNNNNNNNNNNNNNNNNNNNNNNNNNNNNNNNNNNNNNNNNNNNNNNNNNNUGAUGGAUAUUUCAUUAGCUUAUUUGAUCUAAAUAUUAAUAAUUUAUUGCUUUGAUAGUUUCCUUUUUGUUCAAAGGCCAUUGGAAAAUCAUGAAGAUUGGCCUCUACCAUCACCAUUAUCAUUUUUGUUAAUUACUAAAAAAAUUUUACUUUGAGGUUUCAUUUUUGUUUUGUUGGGUAUUUUAUUUCUUAUAUUUUAUUUUUUCCAAAUUAAUUCCUUUUAUUUUAAAAUAAAAUACUUUUCUCAAAAAAAUCAUUUUAAAAAUCUAUUUCAAAAACUCAUUUAGAGUCCUCAGGAUCAAAAUCUUUUUUUUUAUUAUUUAAAAAUAAUAUGCAACCAUAUCUUGUUCGGUUUGCAUCCUUCUCGGUUUUCAACAAAAAUUUUGGUUUUGAACAAAAACACGAAUCAAAGCUUGUGGUCCCAAAUAAUGGGAUAAUUCUGGGCUAAAUUUGUGUAUAUUAAUUUGGGGAAUUGGUGAAACCCCUACAUAAGAAAAUCUUUUCAAAAAUUAUUUUUGUUGCCAUCUUUGUCACUUGUUGAAAUUAUGUCUAUUUUUUUUAAGAAUUGUAUACAUGAUGAGUGUGAUAAUUAAUGUUUUCAUAUGCUUUGAUAAUUUUUGUUAUGCUAAUUAGAUAACAAGCAUGCUAGGGUUUCUUUAUUUUAUUAUUAUCUAAUCCCUCAUGUCUUAUGGAAGCGCAUUGUAAGUUAUCUAUGCUAUCCAGGUAUGCCCCCUAAUGACCUACUUUCUAAAUUUCGUAAACAAUCAUGUCACUGUGAAGUAUGCAUAUGUUUGAUAAUCCUUAGGUGUUUAGAUGUAUGCUUGAUUCACUAUGAUUAAAUACAUGUUGUGUGUUAUACUUCUAUAUUAACUCUGAUGUUUUAUGAUAGCGCUUGAAGAGCGGUUCAGGUACGCACCCUAACUCUCAGUUUUUGUGAUUUGAUCUUGUUUAGCAUGCAAAUCUUUUGAAAUCACCUAGUCUACCUAGGUCCAUAAUUAACCGAUUAAUUGCCAUAUUCCCCUUAACUUAAUUAGUAGAGACCUUUUUAGGGCUUAGAAGGGUGCUACCUCUUAGAGGUACCUUCCCAAUAAGUAACCUGAUCCCCGGACCAAGACUUGGGUUUUCAAAGACACGCUUUUCCAAAAAUUAUGGAGUCAUUUUUUUUAGGGUUUUAUUUCUUGUUUUAUUUUCCCUUCAAAAAUAAAAAUAAAAUAAGUGGCGACUCCAACUUUUUUUUUUCAAAAAUCAAUUUUUCACAAAAUAAUAAAAAGCGAGUCUCACCGAUCGAGUGGGGGCGCACGUGAAAAAUGCGGGUCCACAAAUUGGCGACUUCGCUGGGGAUUUUGAGGAUCAAGCUUGAACACUAGUUAGGAAAAUGUGGCGUUUAAUUGGUCGAUUAGUGGGUACCUCUUUUUUUAGGCAAGGUGAUUCGAUUUGCUUGCUUGUUUGGUUUGCUAUCUUAACAUGUUUGAUUGCCUUGGAUGAUCACUUAACUGUUUGCUCACUUUAGCAUGAUUCACUCUCACAUAUGUUAGAUAGGACUUUGUUUGUUUGAUAUUUAUCUGCUCAGCAUGACUGUUUGUUGUGUUUGCCUUGGAUGAUCACUUGAUUGUUUUGCUCACUUUAGCAUGAUUCACUCUCACAUAUGCUAGAUAGGACUUUGAUUGUUUGAUAUUUAUCUGCUUCACAUGACUGCUUGUUGCAUGACAACCCUUGCUCUUGCAUGUUCGUAUGAUUGCUUGUCUUCAUUCACUAUCUCACUUUAGACCUUAGGUUUUUCGGAUGCACCCACAUCCUUCAUUGUGCACUUUAGAUUAUCCUUGAGUGUUGAGAGAUGGGAGAGCCUUCACCAUUAAGAAACCCCCUGGGAACGCGAGGAAGUGCAUGUGUGGAGGUGAUGACCACCUUGCAUGGAAGCACCCCGUCUUCUUGGAGGCGUGCAGAGGGUUGCGUACCGCCGGAGGGUACGAUCGCUUCUGCUAGGGAUCCUUUGACCCGCUCAUUUUAUCUUAUAGAGCCACCUUAACCUUGUAGGUUAGCCUAGACCCAAUUAAGAUUUCAUUCCUACACGUGGGUGCAUCUGUGGACCUUCAGAGCUGCCUUGGUCACAAUUGGAAUUGGUUAUCCCUUCCUUAGUCUCCUUUUGGUGUAAUCAGAAGAGGGUAUCAGAUUGAGUAUAUUUGGGCUUUGCUUCUACGCCUUUGAUUCAUACAGAGUCACCUUCGAGUUACACCUUAUUCAGUGUUUCCAUAUUUGUAGGAGGGUUUACCGUGACCGAUCUGGAUUCACCUUUGUGGAUUAGAGUUGGAGGUAGAUUGAGCAGAGUAUCAGACCAGUCAGAUCAGAGAUCAGAUCAGAGGGAUAUGGACUCACAGGUAGUUACCGUUGACCAGUUUGCCGCAGCCAUGGCUUCUAUCCAGGAGGCUAUAGCUAACCUUGGUCAGAGGAUAGAUGGACAGCAGACCCAGCAGGUCCCAGUUCAGGAGAGUACCCAGUUCGAUACCAUAGUACCGCCACCACCUCUGCCUAGUCAGUCAGUACCACAGGUUAUACCUUUCACUCUGCAUAGUCAGAUCGAGGUUGCCCCGCCUCCUAUCACAUCGCCUAUCCCGGCUUCAGAGGACCCACAUGCUCGUAUGGAUAAACUUGAGCAGAAGUUGAGACAGAUGAGGACUUCAGAGGGAGCUAUUACUUGGGAGGAUUUUGAUGGAGCACCAGUGGCCAGUCUACCGGCCAAAUUUAGGAUGCCUGAGAUUGAGAGAUACACAGGCAUAGGAUGCCCUCGCAUCCAUUUGAGACUUUAUAGUACUGUUAUGAGGGCCCAUGGACUGGAUGAUGCCCAGAUGGUUAUGCUCUUUCCUAUGUCAUUGAGUGGUGCUGCACAGCGUUGGUUCGCUUCAUUGGAGGUAUCACGCCGUAGGACUUGGGAUGACUUAGCCCAGGAGUUUUUGAGACAGUUUGCAUUUAACACUGUCAUUGAUGUUUCGAGGAGAGAGUUGGAGGCUUUGAGACAGAGGCCGGAGGAGUCAGUCACUUCAUUUAUCUCCCGCUGGAGGGAGAAGAUUUCACAGAUUAUAGACCGUCCUUCAGAUAGAGAUCAUAUUAGCAUGAUCAUGAGGAGCUUGCAGCCUAGAUUUGCUAGACACUUGAUGGGAUUUCCCCAUACGGAUUUUGGAUCUUUGGUACAGGCUUUGUACGGUAUAGAGGAGGGCAUUGCUAGAGGAUUAUGGUCUGAGUCUUCCCCUACUGAUUCUAAGGGGAAGAGGCCUUCAGGAGGACAGAGAUCAGGAGAUGUUGGUGCUAUCAGUUUAGCAGGGAUGAGACCUUCUAGACACUAUCAGACAGUUGGGCAGACUCCUGGGUACUACUAUCCACCUUCACCUCAUGCGCAUUACAGACCACCCGCUCCUUCCAGACCCAUGACUCCUACCUAUCUACAUCCAGUCUCACAACCUAUUUUCGCUGCACACGUCGUAGAGAGGCCUCCUGCCCCAUAUAUUCGACCCCGAGCUCCACAGACCACUACUUAUGUGCAGAGGCCACCACGUCAGUUUGCUCAGUUGGGUAUGCCUUUGAGUCGAGCUUUUCAGAAGCUCACAGAGGGUGGAUUACUGAUUCCAUUAGCAUCCAGGCCUUUACCCCAACCCAUACCACCUCGCUUCAGGAUGGACUUACAUUGUUCCUACCAUCAGGGACCAGGGCAUGACACGGACCAUUGCACUGCUUUGAGACAUGCUAUUCAGGACUUGAUAGACCAGGGUUUGGUCAACUUGGGGCAGCCAAGUGUGACUACGAACCCUCUUCCUGCUCAUUCUACACACGCAGUGCAUCCAUCUUUAGGAGAUAUUCGUCACAUGGACCUUAUAGAGGAUGACAGUAUACACAUGUUGAGUUGGGAUGAUGGAUUACUUGAGCCGAUUGUUCUGCAUGACAGCUAUGAGAUUGAUGGGGUUUCAUUGGUCCCUCAGGCUCCUGCACCAUUCAGUUUGAUCCCGGACGAGGCACUAUUCCAAUUGACUCAUCCUACACCCUUAGUUAUCGGAUGUCAGGAUACUUUUGUCCCAUUCACUUUAUGGCCAGAGGAUGAUGAUUCAGCAGGAAGAGAGAUACAGAUUGUGACUCGCAGUGGGAGGAUAGCUCAGCCACCACCACCAGCAGUUAGACCAUUUGAGGGUACAACCUCUCAUGAGGAGGUUAGGAGAGAGGAUGAUGAGGUUUUGAGGCAGCUACAGAGCACUCAGGCUCGCAUUUCCAUCUGGAGUUUAUUAGCAUCAUCCAGUACUCAUAGAGAUGCUUUGAUUCGAGCCUUGAGUCAGAUCAGAGUAGAGACUACCACCACUCCAGAGGGAUUGAUUCAUAUGAUGACGGCUGGCAGGGCCACUUGCAUUGUAUUUUCAGAUGAUGACUUGCCACCUGAUGGUUUAGACCACAUGCGCCCUCUAUAUAUCACAGUUGGAUGUUUAGGCCGUAGAGUCUCGUCAGUCCUACUGGACAACGGCUCAGCCCUGAAUGUUUGCCCUUUAGCCACUGCUAUAGCCCUUGGUUUCGCACCUUCAGAUUUUGGUCCUUCUACUCAGACAGUCAGAGCGUAUGAUAGCACCAAGAGGGAGGUUAUGGGUACCUUGAUGAUCGAUUUGCAGAUUGGUCCAGCCACAUUUUCCACUUUGUUCCAGGUUUUGAGGAUUCCUGCAUCCUUUAGCCUGCUACUAGGCCGACCAUGGAUUCAUGUAGCUGGAGCUAUUCCUUCUUCCCUUCAUCAGAAGGUGAAGUUUAUUCAUGAUGGGCAGGUCAUCACAGUGCGUUCUACCAGGGAUAUAUUUGCGUCUUCUGAGCCAGUACUUCAGAUCAGUCACAGUGAGGACGACCUACUUCUGACUGGGUUUACUUUUGAUGAGAUACAGACUCUCGAGAUUGAGGAUUUUUGUAGAGACUUUGUGGCUAUGUCAUUUGAUCAGCACAGUAGCACAGUGGUCCUUGAUAUGAUGAGGGGUAUGACCUUUCUACCUGGCAUGGGGUUAGGAUGACGUCAACAGGGACCGAGCGAGUUCAUAGCUGCCAUUGACCAUGAUACGACAUUUGGACUUGGAUUCAUCCCUAUUGAGGCCGAUUACCGUCACAUGGCGCGGCUGCGCAAGGAGAAGGUGAGAGCCCGUUUAUCCCACACACCAUUUGAUUAUCCUAUUCGACCCUAUAGGAUGAGUUUGGCUGACUACUUUGUCAGAGGAUCAGAGACUCGACCUCGUCUAGAGGAGAUUGAUAGUGUGGUUCAUACAGAUAGAGAGACCGAGCUUCAUGACUCAUGCCCAAUUGGUGUCUCAGCUGAUUUGUAUUCAGCUGGUGCUCCUUGAUUGAGGAAGUGAUCAACAAAAUUUAUACCUAUAACACCAUACACUAGGGUAGCAAAUACAAAGCUACUAUAGUAUAGUGGCUCUAAGGAUCGUUCACUGGGAAUGAUUUGCAAGCAAUCAAGGAUACCAAUUCCAAGUGAAUUGGUCUUGUUUCAUUUCACGGUUAGCUUAAGAAGUAAAACACAAAGUUUGAUUGGUAAAGGUUUAGACUUAAACUAACUAACUUAACAGAAGUUUGGAAUAAUUUAGGAAGAAAAGCAUUCCUUGGAGAUUUAGGUUCACUGGGGUGGUUCCUCAUGCAAAAGACAUAGCUCCGGUCAGAUGGUUCAUUUCCUCGCAUUAGAGAUUCAACUUAGAGUCAAUUCUCUAACCGGUGAUGUACAGAGACUCCUUCAAUUAGAUUUCACUUUAAUUCUCUCACUGAUGCAACUUGCAAUGGUUCAUGCCUCUCACGAGCACUUACCAUUCAAGGUGAUCUUUAACCUUGGAUUCCCUUCACAAACUCGCAAGAGAUAACUAAUGGAUGUCUCCUAAGAGUCCAAAAGCUUACCAAGUGUUGGUAAUUCCAGAAAAUCCUACCUUGAAGUCACCUACCAAAGGCUCGCAAGGGGUAAACUAGUGCAUUUCCACGGUUGGAAAUCACUUGCCUUACCAAGUGUUGGCCCAGGUGACUCCAAAGUGUUUUAAGUUAACUAAAAACAUUGAAAUCACUAAAGGAUUUCACUUCCUCUUCAUUUCUAGCUAAAACCACAGAGCUUUGCAUUUUUGCACUUGGAACCUUCCCCGGCAACCUUAGCUCCAAGGAAUUGGAGGUUUAGUUACUCAUUCUCUGGGGAAAACUCCUCAGAGAAUUCAUAACUUAGAAAUAAAAUGAAAAUACAAAGUGAGAAGGUGAGGCAAUAGAAGGAAAAGACUUUACUUGCUUACCAAAAUGGUUACAGAAGGAACUCCUCUCUGAGAACAGGCUCCCGAGAGGUAUAUAUAUCAAAGCAAUAUAAAACUAAUUGUUACACUGAUAUUUGGUCUUUUUACUAACUUUAAAACUAAGGAAUCAUGUAAUUGGUGGUUUACAAGGAGUAUUUUGGGAUUUAGACAACAAAAAUCUAAUGGAAAAUAUCUCCCAAUGUCGGUAGCAAGCUUCGGGAGGCUUCAGGAGCCAUUUCGCAGGAGAAAAGUGGUGCCUGCGAAAUUUCGCAGACACCCAAUAGGGCUGCGAAAUUAUUUCGCAAGACCGAGCUAUCUUCACCAGGCUGCAAAGUUGGCUUCCAUCUUGAAGUUUCCAGCUUCCCUCUCGCGGCAUGGUUCGUGCAUCGUCAGAAGAAGAAACACCUUACUGUACAAAAGUGUUGCAAAAUUCUCGCAACAAAAGGCUGAUUCCGCAGCACUUUAGAGUGACUGGCUUGUAAUGGCUGCAACUUCUUCGUUUCAACUCCAAAUUGCACACCGUUUGAAGCAUUGGAUUGUUGACUUCCUGAGCUUUGAAAUGGUAUAUAGCAUGCAUCAUUUGGACUUCAGAAAGUGCUCCAAAAGUGGCUGCUACGACUGUCAUCAAGAAUAAGCUUCAUGACUGAUCCUCUUUGCUUUUUCUCCUUGCAAUCCGGAUUCACUCUUGGCAAUUGAAUUCUAAGCUUUGCCCAAGAUUCCUCAUAGCUCUCCUCAUUCUUGACUUGCUUUGGUGAUCAAAAUACUAACAAAAACACCAAAACUUACACAAAGUGAUCAAAAUUGCUUUAAAGGAUCCUUAACAUGCCAAUUGAGUUAAAAGGCCUAAACUACUACUCAAAAGUGGUAAAAAGGAUUAAUUAAAGGCUAUCAAAUAGCACUUUUUGAGUAGUAAUCACUCCCCCCAACCGACAUAUUGCUAGUCCCUUAGCAAUAUAGGAGAGAAAAAUGAAAAUAAAUAGCUAAUUAUACUAAAAUUUACAACAUCAUGCUAAAGGAAAAUAAUUCUCAAGUGGCAUGAUGAUCUAAUUCUCACAUGAAUCAUUAAAGAAAUACAAACCCAAAUCUCAACAAGAGUCAUAACAAACUAUGUUAAGCACUGUCAAUCAAGGGAGUGCAUUAUGCAAACUGAAGUUUUAAAAUCAUUUCAACUUUCAAAGAACUAAACUUCAAUCUUCCACAAAAAUCUAUGUGUAUUGGUUCCUUAGGUUCCGAGAAUAAUAUGCUACUAAUCUCACCCCCCAACCUAUCUCUUUUCAACACUUUAGCAAACUGACCAAAAUCAAUAAGAAAAGAACACACUUUCAUCUUUUUUUUUUUUUUUUUUUUUUUUUUUCAAGGUAGCUUUAUGGGGUACUCUUUCUGACUUGUCCAUGUAAUGGGGGUCCAUCGAUGACUCCCAACCAAUUAAGGUUUAGGGCACCAAGUUUUAAGGAUCUUUCAACCACUAACUCCUCGGAUUUUUCCCCGGACUUUUAAGAAUGAGAUUCUAAUACCCAAGCAUCUACCAUAUGCUAACUCUACCUAUUCACCCUUGUAACGAGCAUUGAGGUCGGUGACUCCCAACCAAUUAAGGCUUAGGGCACCAGGCUUUAAAGGCUUUCACCAUAUGCCCCUCAGACCUUGCUCGGGUUUCAAGGCAAGCAAACAAAUUUCUUUAUUUCAAAGGCUCAUUGGCCUUUUGCAGAGUGUUUCAAUUUUUAUUAAAUGAGGUCAAAUAUACCAAGUCUCAAAAUUAUCCUAAGUCAAGAGGGAAAUAGCUUUUCAUCUUAUAAUCGGAAACUAAUGUGCACAGUGUGUGGAUAGCUUAAAGUGGAAGAACUUAAUUCAAUUUCAGUAGAAGUUUCAACAAUUGAACCACUUUAGUAAGCAUAAUCCAUACUCUAAGUCAAGUGAAAAACAACAGUUCAAUUUCUCUUGGUUUAAUUUGAAAAUUUUUCCUCAAAAUUCAUGGAGAAUAGAGUAACACUAAUAAAAAGUAAAAACUACAACUAAUUAACCAAUAUAAUUAAAAUACCAAAAAGGUUUAGAAUACUUCCUUCCUCAUACCCCCCAACCGAAUUGAGCAUUGUCCUCAAUGUGAUUUGAGUGACUGUAAUAAAAGGGAGGAAGUUGUAUCUCCAUGCUGAUAUCAAAUUCGAAUAUUGAUUGGGGAAAACCACAUGUUUCAAAAAGAAUAGAAUAUGUGAGAAAAGGAAAUAAUAAUAACUUAAUGCUAACUUUUAACAAGAAAUAGUCAACUUGUAUUACUUUGAGUUCAUUUAAUUACAAUGCUAAAAACAAGUAACACAAGGAAUCCCAUAUAUAGUACCAAAAUACUGGGAUUUCAUUUCAACUAAAACAAAACAAACAUGCAUAAAAACAUAAACAGAAAAUAUAUAUAAUGUCUGAUGAGUGGGGUGAUGGUGCUAAGCAGAAGGAUCUGCCUUCUCAGUAGGUGGAUCAGCUGGUGCUUCUGGCUCUGGAGCUUGAGACUCUGAAGGCUGAGAGUGUGGCUCUGGUGGAGUCUCAGUGGAGGGCUCUACAGCUUGUGGCAGGUCGAAAUGGACUUGAAGCUGCCUUAGGAUGGCAGCUUGUUGAGCCUGAGAGGCUAACAUCUGCUCCUGGCAUGCUUUGAUGGCUGCCAACUCCUGAGCAAGAUUGCUCUGGGUAGCUGUAAGAGUCUCCAAUGCACGACACAGCUCUCGAUAUUCGGAUAUAGGGAUGGCCAUCCUCGGCUCAGCUGAUGUGGAUGGCUGUGAUGGAGCAGGUGCAGGUGCAGGUGCAGCUGGUGGAGCUCGAGGGAUGGCAGGAGUAGCAAGUGUGAUAUCCUCUGGUCUGUGCCUUGGGGAGGCUCUCCUUGCUGCUAGCUGAGGCUGCCCAGGCUGAUCAAUUUUGUAGGCCGUCAUAUUAUUCCAUUUAUCAAGGGUAAAUGGCUCACGGCAAAUUCUCUUUCUUUCCUGCUGAGGCUCAGAGGGGUAUCCGAGAUGCUCCAAAACUUGGCAUAGCAGCCUUGGGAAGAGGAGUGGAAUGCAAUCUGCUCUUUGAAGCUUCUUCUUGUAAACCUUCUCCUCAAAGUAGAGAAGGGCUGCCAUGAUCAGAUGAUGAGGCCCAAAGAAGAAUCCUUCUGGCAUUUUGUACAGGGCUUCCAGGAGAAUUCCCCUUCUUUGGGUCCAAUGCUGUAGGGGAUAGAUAUUAUGCCUCAAAAAGGCAUCAAUCAAAAACAUCACUGGAGGUAGCUCCCCCCUCAACAGGUGUGACCGAUUUGCAGCUCCUCUAGACAAGGUGCUAACCAUCUCUAGCUCAGCUGGAUUUACCCAAGCCUUAAAAUUGUCAAAUUGGGUUGGCUCAAAAGGAAUUUGCAGAGCUUCAGCAAUAUGUCUUGCUCCCAAAAUACCAUGUCUACCAUCAAUAAUAAAAUGAAUCAAGGUUGGAUUUCUUACUUCUUUGGUUGUCAUGGUCUGGUAGAAAUCAGUGACUACCCGGGGAUAGAAAAAAUCCCUUGGAGCUAGCAGAUGCUCCAUAUGAUACUUCCUCAGCAGCUGGAAGGAUUGGGCAAGCUCUGGCCUCACUCUAAAUGUUGCUAAAUCGAAGCACAAUUCAGAAUGGAAUGCCCGAGUUCGACAAUCCAAGUUUCCUUCGAUUGGGGGCUGGGGCAGCAUUGGCCUUCGGAUCACUUCUUCCAGAGGUGCUUCAGCUGCAAUUUGGGGCUCUGGAAUUGGCGCUUGAGACUCCUGAGCUUUUUCUUGGGGUGCCGGAGAUGGUACCGGCGAUGGAAUUGGAGUUGCUUCUGGUGAGGGAACCGGUGACGGCAUUGGAAUUUGUACCGGUGAAGGAUUUGGUGAAGAUACCGGAGAUUGAACCGGUGUUGGCUUUGGGGAUUUCUCAGGGGAUUGCUCAGUCAAAUUGAUUGGUUCAGAGCUCUCAACCCUGGCUUUCUUCUUCAACGGUCGACCGCCUGACCUGGUUAAAUAUCGCCUUGCCGGCGGCUUUGGUGGCGCCGGCUUCACUGGAGAAGGUUGUGGUCUCGACGGCGAAGGCUUUGGAGCAGGUUCUGGAACAGAGCCUGGACUUGGCUCCUUUCGCAGACUCCUUUUACGGUUCGAAGGGGAUGAAGACUUUGCCCCUCGCGUUCGUGCCAUUUUGGGCUAUCGAUCUUUGGCCGGCGCUGCUAAACGGAGAAGAUGACCGGAGAAGCGAACGGCGUGGCUUGGCGAAGAAGAUGAAGGGGCCGCGAGAAUGGUGCUCUGAUUUUUGAAACCCUUUUCGCAACACUUUUGACCGGUAUAAAUAGGAAAAACGGAAGCCCAGGGGUCAGUUUAAGUUUCGCAACAAAACGCCAAUUUCGCAGCAACUUGCCAUUUUCGCAGCAACUUCGCAGUGAGUUUCGCAGCUGCGAAAUCGAUGUCACUGUGCUGCGAAGUGGCACUCGUGUGCCAAAACCACUUUCGCAAUUGCGAAAUGCCCUGCGGAAUGGGACUUUUGGUGCGAAAUCACGCUUUUCCAUUUCGCAAUGAGUUUCGCAGCUGCGAAAUGGAUGCUACUGUUCUGCGAAGUGGCACUCGUGUGCCAAAACCACUUUCGCAAUUGCGAAAUACACUCGCAGGGACUUCUACAGUGCUGCGGAAUGGUUUGGCAACAAAAAUCACAUUUCGCAGAAGUUUCCUUCACUCUGCGAAAUUUCGCAGAGCUCUGUUUUUCCCCUGUUUUUGCUCUGUUUCUGUUUUGUUUCGGCUCCAAUUUCGACCCGAUUUUUUUCUUUUCAAUUUCCUUGAAAUUUCUUCCACCUGGGAUCAUAUAAAACGAUUAAAACACACCUAAAAACAUGAUUUAAGAUAAAAAAACUAAGAUCAAAAGUAUGGAAACAACUUGAAAAUUUACAAAAUUUACAAAAAAUUUGGACUGUGGUAAAACCACGUCCAGCAAACCCAUUUCACUUAGGCUUUUUGAGGUUCAAGGAGGUUGAUUGCCUCCUUUUCUGAUUUGAACGACUCCAUGAAUGGCUUAAGAUGAUAUCCAUUGACUCGAAAACUAUCCUUGCCAUUGGAAUUCAAUAAGUCCACCACUCCAUUGGAAUAUACUCGGUGAAUAACAAAUGGACCAAUCCACUUUGACUUGAGCUUCCCAGGAAAGAUAUGGAGUCUUGUGUCAUACAUCAAAACUUUUUGCCCUUCUUGAAAUUCCUUGUUGGAGAUGAGUUGGUCAUGCCACUUCUUCAUCCUCUGUUUUGCAACUUUGGAAUUGAUAUAAGCAUUAUUUCUUAAUUCCUCCAUCUCAUUAAGGUCUAGAAAUCUCUUUUCUCCGGCCUUGAUCAAAUCCAUAUUCAGCUUCUUUAUUGCCCACCAAGCUUUGUAUUCAACUUCCACAGGGAGAUGGCAUGCUUUACCAUAGACAAGACGAUAGGGAGACAUCCCUAGAAUAGUCUUAUAAGCUGUUCUAUAUGCCCACAGUGAAUCAUGAAGCCUAAUAGACCAAUCUUUUCUGUUGGAAUUCACCACUUUCAUCAAAAUGUUCUUUAUUUCUCUGUUAGCUAGCUCAACUUGCCCGGAAGUCUGAGGAUGAUAAGGUGUGGCCACCUUAUGCUUCACUCCAUACUUGGAUAACAGAGCUUCAAAAGGUUUGUUACAAAAAUGAGCACCUCCAUCACUGAUUAUGGCCUUGGGCACCCCAAAUCUUGAGAAAAUGUUCUCUUUAAGAAACUUGAGAACCACCCUAUGAUCAUUUUGCUUACAGGGGAUUGCCUCAACCCAUUUAGAAACAUAAUCUACCCCUACCAAGAUGUAAGAAUUACCAAAAGACAUUGGGAAAGGUCCCAUGAAGUCAAUGCCCCAUACAUCAAAUAUCUCUACUAUCAGAAUGGGGUUCAUAGGCAUUUGAUUUCUUUUUGUUAGCUUUCCAAGCCUUUGGCAUCUAUCACAACUCCUACACAUGAUAUGGGCAUCUUUAAAAAGAGAGGGCCAAGUAAACCCUGACUGUAAUACCUUCAUGGCUGUUUUCUGAGAGGCAAAGUGACCUCCACAUGCAUUCUCAUGACAAUGAGAUAGAAUCCCUUGCUGCUCAUCUUCAGGGACACACUUUCUAAUAAUCUGAUCUGCACAAUACUUAAAGAGAAAGGGCUCUUCCCAAUAAUAAGAAUGAAUUUUGGCGAAGAAGUGCUUCCUGUCCUGUGCAUUCCACUCACUUGGAAUUUCUCCAGUUACUAAAUAAUUAGCAAUAUGAGCAUACCAAGGAGUUUUCACUAGGAACAUGAGUGAUUCUUCAGGAAAAUCAUCAUUGAUAGGCAAGGGAUGGGAAUUAUGUGCUAUAACUAACCUUGACAAGUGGUCAGCUACUACAUUCUCCACUCCUUUCUUAUCUUUGAUUUGAAGAUCGAAUUCUUGUAACAAUAGAAUCCAUCUAAUCAACCUUGCUUUUGCAUCUUGCUUUGUCAAUAAAUACUUCAAGGCUGAAUGGUUAGUAAACACAAUGAUGAAAGACCCCACUAAAUAAGCUCGAAAUUUGUCCAAAGCAAAUACCACAACUAACAAUUCUUUCUCUGUAGUUGUGUAGUUCCUUUGAGCUUCAUUUAGUGUUUUACUUGCAUAGUAAAUCACAUAAGGCUUCCCAUCUUCUCUUUGGCCAAGCACAGCUCCUAUAGCAAAGUCACUGACAUCACACAUCAAUUCAAAAGGUAACUGCCAGUUAGGGGCUCUUACUAUUGGAGUUGUUGUUAAAAAUUUCUUCAGUUGAUCAAAGCUAUGCUGACACCUUUCAUCCCAUAUAAACUUAGCAUCCUUAGCUAACAGCUCACAAAGAGGUUUUGAAAGACUUGAAAAACCUUUUAUAAACCUCCUAUAGAACCCUGCAUGGCCAAGGAACUGCCUUACUCCUUUCACAGUUGUUGGAGAUGGUAAUUUGGCAAUAAGCUCCACCUUUGCUUUAUCAACUUCAAUGCCUCUUUCAGAGAUGAUAUGGCCAAGGACAAUUCCUUGACGUACCAUAAAAUGGCAUUUUUCCCAAUUCAGCACCAAAUCUUUUUCAAUGCAUCUUUGAAGAACUGCUUCCAAAUUAACCAAGCACUCCUCAUAUGUACCUCCAUAUACGGUGAUGUCAUCCAUGAAAACCUCCAUAAUUCUCUCCACCAUAUCACUGAAAAUACUCAACAUACAUCUUUGAAAUGUAGCAGGUGCAUUGCAUAAACCAAAAGGCAUUCUUCUAUAAGCAAAUGUUCCAAAUGGACAUGUAAAAGUGGUUUUUUCCUGAUCUGCCAAAUCAAUUUCAAUCUGAAAAUACCCUGAAUACCCAUCCAAGAAACAAUAGAAUGGAUGUCCAAAGACUCUCUCCAGCACUUGGUCAAUAAAUGGCAAUGGAAAAUGAUCUUUCCUGGUGACAGCAUUCAGCUUUCUAUAAUCAAUACACACCCUCCAACCUGAAGUGAGGCGUGUAGUAAUUUCUUCCCCUUUUUCAUUUUGAACCACUGUGAUCCCUGACUUCUUUGGUACCACUUGAAUAGGACUCACCCAAGGGCUAUCAGAUAUAGGGUAAAUGAUUCCUGCUUGAAGUAGCUUCAGCACCUCAGCUCGCACCACCUCUUGUAGAUGAGGAUUCAACCUUCUUUGAAAUUGACGAAUUGGCUUUGCUUCCUCCUCCAUAUAUAUAUGAUGAGUACAAACUAAAGGACUAAUGCCUUUCAAAUCAGAUAUUUGCCAUCCUAUUGCUUUCUUACACCUCCUGAGAACUUCCAUUAAACCAUCCUCUUGAUGACUGGUCAGAGAUGAAGAUAUUACAACAGGACAUUGAUUAUUUGCUUCAAGGUAUGUAUAUUUCAGCUCCACAGGUAAAGGCUUCAAAUUGAGUUUUGGAAUUUCUUUUUCAACAGCUGCCUCCUCUUCUUCAUUGAACAAAGGUAGAAUUCCUUCUAUCUUUCUCCAACUUUGUAGAGUAGCAAGCCCACUAGGAGAUUCAGAAAAACCUUCCUCAAUAUCCUCAAGACUUUCAUUCAACUUGUCUUGCAUAUGUUGAUUGCAGUGCUCCUCCACCAAAGUAUCAAUUAUACAUAGCUCUUCUGGACCUUCUUCUUCUUCAGGAGUGAUUUGCUUUUUAGACAUAUAGAAAAUAUUGAGAUCCAGGGUCAUAUUACCAAAAGUGAGUUGCAUCAGCCCAUUUCUACAGUUGAUGAUUGCAUUUGAAGUUGCAAGAAAUGGCCUUCCAAGGAUGAUAGGAACUAAAUUAGCUUCCUUUACAGUAGGAUCUGUAUCAAGAACAACAAAAUCUACCGGAUAGUAGAAAUUAUCUACUUGAACUAAUACAUCCUCAAUUACUUCUCUUGGAAUUUUCACUGAUCUAUCUGCCAAAGAUAAAGUGAUUGCUGUUGGCUUUAACUCUCCAAGUCCCAGUUGCUUGUAGACUGAGUAUGGAAGCAAAUUCACACUUGCUCCCAAGUCUAGCAAGGCUUUCUCCACUACCUUUCCUCCAAUCAUGACUGAAAUGGUAGGACUUCCAGGGUCUUUGUACUUCAAAGGGGACUUACACUGUAAGAUUGCACUUACUUGCUCAGUCAAGAAGGCUUUCUUGUUUACAGUCAACCCUCUUUUGAUAGUACACAAGUCCUUUAGGAAUUUUGCAUACGUUGGAACUUGUUUGAUCAUAUCCAGCAGUGGAAUAUUAACUUUCACUUGUCUCAAUACUUCAAGGAUUUCAGCUGCAUUUCUAACCCCCUUUUUCCCCUGUAAUGCUUGAGGAAAAGGUGGAAAAGUUGAUUUCUUCAGCUUUUCUUCCUUCAGAAGCUCCUUCUUUUCUUCAUUGAUCUCACUCUCUUUAUCUUCCAUUUCCUUCCCUUUCUUUAUCUCUUCUUCUUUCUCAACAUGUGGCUUGGGUGUUGGCUGCUCAAUUUUCUUACCACUCCUUAGAGUGAUCAAAGCUUUCACUUCUUUCACCUGUGAUGAUUCUCCCUCAUGGCUUUCCACUUCAUGGACACCUUUGGGAUUUUGAUGAGGUUGAGAAGGAAAUCUUCCUUUUUCUUGCAGUGUAUUCAAAUUUGUAAGCCUUGAAAUUGAAUAUUGGAUGUUAUCAAACUUUUGGUUCAUAUCAUUUUGCAUUCCAUCCAUUCUUUUGUUCAACACACUCUCCAUUCUAUCCAUUCUUUGAUCCACUCUGUCCAUUCUUUGAUCAACUCGAGCAUUGGUGGCUUCUUGCUUUCCCACAAAAUCUCCCACUACCUUGCUGAGAUUAGCUAUUAUUUGUUCAAUACUUGAAGAUUGCUGAGAUGGUGGAUCCGGCUGUUGGUAUUGAGUUGCUCUGGCCUUCCAUGAGAAAUUUGGAUGAUUCCUCCAACUUGAAUUGUAGGUAUUUCCAUAUGGUGCAUUGUUAUUGGGCCUGAAUUGUCCAACAACAUUUGCUUGAUCUCUAUACAUUUCCCUUUCAGCUGAAAUUGCAGGGCACUCCUCUACCAAAUGUUCAAACGAUUGACAAUUGGGACACAACUUCACUUGCACUGGUGCUUCAGCAACAGCUUGCACUUCAUGCAUUCUUUUCAGCUCCAGCUCCUUCAAUCUUCUUGUCAUAGCUGCCAACUUUGCUUUCAUGUCAUCAUCUUCUUUUAAAUUAUACAUCCCAGCCUUUGCAUUGUAAGCAUUCAACUGAGACUUCAUCUUUCCCACUUCUCCUUUAGUUGGUUCAUCCCAUCCCCUUGAAACAUCAGCUACAUAGCUCAAGAAAUCCAUAGCUUCCUCUGGAUUUUUGCUCAUGAAAUCUCCUCCACACAUUGUCUCGAGGAGUUGCUUCAUUGAGGAUGACAUACCAUCAUAGAAAUAACUCACCAAUAGCCAAGUAUCAAAGCCAUGGUGAGGACAAGCAUUUAUAGCUUCCAUGUAUCUUUCCCAACACUCAUAGAAUUUCUCAUUCUCUUUAGCUGAAAAAUUUGAAAUUUGCCUUUUCAAGCCAUUUGUUCUAUGAGUAGGAAACAAUUUCUUAAGGAACUCAGCUUGUAAAUCAGUCCAAGAGCGGAUACUCCUUGGCCUUAAAGAAUUAAGCCAAAUUUUGGCCUUAUCCUUUAAAGUAAAAGGAAAUAACUUAAGCCUUAUCAAGUCAAUUGAAGCUCCUCCCUCUUGGAAUGUAUUACAAACAUCUUCAAAUUCCUUGAUGUGUGCAUACGGAUUCUCACUUUCCAUCCCAUGGAAAGUUGGUAGAAGUGGAACAAGGUAUGGUCUGAUCACUAGCUGCUCUGUAGGGGGCACUAUACAUGAUGGUGCACUCAUACGAGGUGGAUGCAUACGGUCCCUCAUUGAUCUGAAUUCAUUGAGAUUGUCUUGACGACCUUGGUGACUAUGCUGAUCUUCAGGUGCAGCCUCCAUGAUAUUCAAGAUUACUUCAAAUUCUCCUUUCUGAGGUGUAUCACACUUAACAAGCCUACCUCUAAUGUCUCGUAUCCACUUGGGCAUACACAACUAGUAUUCAGCUGCAACUAAAAUGAAAAUAGAGGACAACAAGAACAGAGGACUACAAUAGCAAAAUUAAACUAGACUAAAAUUUAAAAAGAUAAACUUAGAUUGUAAAAUAAACAAAGAAAGAAUGAAAAUUAGUAAAGUGAAAGAAACUUUACCAACUUGUGAUGAAAAUCACAAGUACUCAAAAAUGGUAUCACAAUGAACUUGACACUCAUUCCCCGGCAACGGCGCCAUUUGACUCAUGCCCAAUUGGUGUCUCAGCUGAUUUGUAUUCAGCUGGUGCUCCUUGAUUGAGGAAGUGAUCAACAAAAUUUAUACCUAUAACACCAUACACUAGGGUAGCAAAUACAAAGCUACUAUAGUAUAGUGGCUCUAAGGAUCGUUCACUGGGAAUGAUUUGCAAGCAAUCAAGGAUACCAAUUCCAAGUGAAUUGGUCUUGUUUCAUUUCACGGUUAGCUUAAGAAGUAAAACACAAAGUUUGAUUGGUAAAGGUUUAGACUUAAACUAACUAACUUAACAGAAGUUUGGAAUAAUUUAGGAAGAAAAGCAUUCCUUGGAGAUUUAGGUUCACUGGGGUGGUUCCUCAUGCAAAAGACAUAGCUCCGGUCAGAUGGUUCAUUUCCUCGCAUUAGAGAUUCAACUUAGAGUCAAUUCUCUAACCGGUGAUGUNNNNNNNNNNNNNNNNNNNNNNNNNNNNNNNNNNNNNNNNNNNNNNNNNNNNNNNNNNNNNNNNNNNNNNNNNNNNNNNNNNNNNNNNNNNNNNNNNNNNNNNNNNNNNNNNNNNNNNNNNNNNNNNNNNNNNNNNNNNNNNNNNNNNNNNNNNNNNNNNNNNNNNNNNNNNNNNNNNNNNNNNNNNNNNNNNNNNNNNNNNNNNNNNNNNNNNNNNNNNNNNNNNNNNNNNNNNNNNNNNNNNNNNNNNNNNNNNNNNNNNNNNNNNNNNNNNNNNNNNNNNNNNNNNNNNNNNNNNNNNNNNNNNNNNNNNNNNNNNNNNNNNNNNNNNNNNNNNNNNNNNNNNNNNNNNNNNNNNNNNNNNNNNNNNNNNNNNNNNNNNNNNNNNNNNNNNNNNNNNNNNNNNNNNNNNNNNNNNNNNNNNNNNNNNNNNNNNNNNNNNNNNNNNNNNNNNNNNNNNNNNNNNNNNNNNNNNNNNNNNNNNNNNNNNNNNNNNNNNNNNNNNNNNNNNNNNNNNNNNNNNNNNNNNNNNNNNNNNNNNNUGGCUUGUAAUGGCUGCAACUUUUUCGUUUCAACUCCAAAUUGCACACCGUUUGAAGCAUUGGAUUGUUGACUUCCUGAGCUUUGAAAUGGUAUAUAGCAUGCAUCAUUUGGACUUCAGAAAGUGCUCCAAAAGUGGCUGCUACGACUGUCAUCAAGAAUAAGCUUCAUGACUGAUCCUCUUUGCUUUUUCUCCUUGCAAUCCGGAUUCACUCUUGGCAAUUGAAUUCUAAGCUUUGCCCAAGAUUCCUCAUAGCUCUCCUCAUUCUUGACUUGCUUUGGUGAUCAAAAUACUAACAAAAACACCAAAACUUACACAAAGUGAUCAAAAUUGCUUUAAAGGAUCCUUAACAUGCCAAUUGAGUUAAAAGGCCUAAACUACUACUCAAAAGUGGUAAAAAGGAUUAAUUAAAGGCUAUCAAAUAGCACUUUUUGAGUAGUAAUCACUUCAGCAUCUAUUUCACCAGCUACAGUUGAGUGAUGGGGCUCCCGACACUUCUUUCCCUGUGGCGAUUACUCCUACGUCUCCAGAUCGAGCUAGCAUGUUGUCUCUAUGCUUUCCAGAGGAGAUCAUGAGUGAUGGGAUGAUUCUUGAUCCUAUUGAGGUGAUUGAUGGAGUUGUUCCCCAUGAUGAGUACCGUGAUGAGAUGGACAUGAUGACCGUGAGCCAGAUUGCCGGCAUUGUUCAGCUUCAGCCUGUUUCAGCAUUUGAUAUGUUUGGGGUAUCUACCAUUGAGGUUUUUGAGGGGACUCAGACUCUUCCUGUUCCAGAGCUUCCAGAGGAUGAUAGUAGUUUGUUUGAGGGCAUUGUUAGCCCAGUUGAGGGAGCGUCCGACCUUGUGGACCCACCUCUUUCUUUUGAUGUUUUAUCGGGAUUUGUCUCCCGCUCUGACGAUGUUUCUGUUGCUUCAUUUAUGGAUUUGAGCAUUUUUGAGUAUUCGCCUGUCUUUUGUGAUAGUAUCUCUACGUCUGCACCCCACUCACCCAUUACACAGAUAUUUGAUAUAGAUGAUGAGAUUGCACAGCCCAAUUCGGAUAGGGACUCUUUUGAUCAUGACUCUGGUCCCAUAGAUGAGAGAGUUUCACCUGCUGCAGGGGGCGUUGAGACUGUUGAUUUUGGCACAGAGGAUCAGCCUAGAGAGCUGAAGAUUGGUUCACCCCUAUCUACAGAUGAGAGAGAUAGACUCAUCCAUUUACUCAGGACAUACUUGGAUGUCUUUGCAUGGUCUUAUGAGGACAUGCCAGGUCUUGAUCCCUCUAUAGUCCAGCACCAUUUACCUACCCUACCACAUGCUAGACCAGUUAAGAAAAAAUUGAGAUGGUUGCAUCCACGUUGGAGUCUACAGGUAAAAGAGAAGAUUCAGAAACAACUCAGUGUUGGGUUCAUAUCAGUAGUUGAGUAUCCAGAGUGGUUGGCUAAUGUCGUCCCUGUUCCUAAAAAGGAUGGCAAAGUUAGGGUUUGUGUUGACUUCAGAGAUCUCAAUAAAGCCAGCCCUAAAGAUGACUUUCCCCUUCCACACAUUGAUUUGUUGGUUGAUGGCACCGCAGGCCAUUCGAUGUUGUCUUUCAUGGAUGGGUUUUCAGGGUAUAAUCAGAUUUUGAUGGCUCCAGAGGAUAUGGAGAAGACAACCUUUAUUACUGAGUGGGGUACCUACUGUUAUAGAGUUAUGCCAUUUGGGUUGAAGAACGCAGGAGCCACUUAUCAGAGAGCCGCUACCACUUUGUUUCAUGACAUGAUGCAUAGGGAUGUCGAGGUUUACGUGGAUGAUAUGAUUUUGAAAUCCCGAGGUAGAGCAGAUCACCUAAAUGCUUUAGAGAGAUUCUUUGAGAGGAUCCGGAAGUUUAGAUUGAGGUUGAAUCCCAAGAAGUGUACCUUUGGAGUGACUUCUGGGAAGUUAUUGGGACAUAUAGUCAGUGAGCGGGGCAUAGAGGUCGACCCAGAUAAAAUCAAAGCCAUACUUGACAUGCCUGCACCAAAGACUGAGAAAGAGAUUAGAGGUUUUCUGGGCAGAUUACAGUACAUUAGUCGGUUCAUAGCCAGAUUGACAGACAUAUGUGAGCCUAUCUUUCGUCUUUUGAGGAAGAACCAGCCAACAGUUUGGAAUGAUGACUGUCAGUUUGCAUUUGAGAAGAUCAAGGAGUAUUUGCUUUCUCCUCCUGUUUUAGUGCCUCCUACGCCAGGACGUCCACUUCUUCUAUAUUUGUCAGUUUCAGACAUGGCAUUGGGAUGUAUGUUAGCUCAGAUUGAUGACUUAGGAAAGGAGCGAGCUAUUUACUACCUAAGUAAGAGGAUGUUGGAGUAUGAGAUGAAAUAUGUUAUGAUUGAGCGCCUAUGCUUAGCACUAGUUUGGGCUACCAGGAGAUUGAGGCAUUACAUGACGGAGUACUCAGUACAUUUGAUAUCCCGCUUGGACCCGUUGAGAUACUUGUUUGAUAGACCUGCAUUGACUGGUAGAUUGAUGAGAUGGCUUGUACUUUUGACAAAGUUCGAUAUUCAGUAUGUUUCUCAGAAGUCUAUUAAGGGAAGUAUUGUUGCCGAUCACUUAGCCUCACUACCGACAUCUGAGGACAGACCAGUUGAUGAUGAUUUUCCAGAUGAGGAGUUUGUUGCUAUGACCAGCUUAUCGGGAUGGUGCAUGUACUUCGAUGGUGCAGCCAAUCAGUCAGGGUAUGGGAUUGGUGUUCUAUUGGUAUCCCCUCAGGACGAUCACAUUCCGAGGUCCGCUCGUUUGACAUUCUCUGAUCGACAUCCUGCCACGAAUAACAUAGUUGAGUAUGAGGCUUGUAUCCUUGGUUUAGAGACUGCAUUGGAGCUUAACAUUAGACAGAUGGAGGUGUUUGGUGACUCCAAUCUGGUACUCAGGCAGAUUUAGGGGGAUUGGAAGACUAGGGACGUGAAGCUUAGGCCAUAUCAUGCUUAUUUAGAGUUGUUGGUUGCGAGAUUUGACGAUUUGAGAUAUGUUCAUCUGCCUAGAGCGCAGAACCGAUUUGCUGACGCCUUAGCUACUUUAGCUUCCUCCGUGGACAUUCCGAUUGAUGUAGUCAUACGUCCAUUACUGAUUGAGUCCAGGUCUGCACCCGCCUAUUGUUGUCUGAUUGGAGAGACAGAGGUCCAGGAUGACCUACCUUGGUAUCAUGACAUUUAUCAGUUCCUUAGAUCUAGCACAUACCCUGAGGUAGCCACUACCAAGGAUCGGAGAGCACUGAGGCAUUUGGCUACUAGAUUUGUGAUUUCCGGAGAUACCUUGUACAGACGAUCAGCUGAUGGUAUGCUUCUGUUGUGUUUAGAUCGAGCCUCUGCAGAUCGAGUGAUGAGAGAGGUUCAUUCAGGAGUUUGUGGUCCGCAUAUGGGAGGACACAUGCUAGCUCGUAAGAUUAUGAGGACGGGUUACUUCUGGUUGACUAUGGAGACAGAUUGUUGUCAGUUUGUCCAGAAAUGCCCAGAGUGUCAGAUUCAUGGUGAUCUCAUACAUGCACCACCAUCAGAGUUACACGCCUUGACUUCGCCAUGGCCAUUUUCAGUAUGGGGUAUUGAUAUUAUUGGGAAAGUUUCACCAAAAUCUUCCAGUGGUCAUGAGUUCAUCCUAGUUGCCAUAGACUAUUUCACCAAGUGGGUGGAAGCCGCAUCAUAUGCGAGGUUGACAUCUGCUAGGGUUGCCAGUUUUAUCAGAUCACACAUCAUUUGCCGCUAUGGGGUUCCUCAUGAGUUGAUUUUCGACAGAGGGGCGCACUUCCGAGCUGAGGUAGACACUUUGUUGCAGGAGUAUGACAUCCGACAUCAUAGAUCUUCAGCAUAUAGGCCACAGACCAAUGGGGCAGUAGAGGCUGCAAACAAGAAUAUUAAGAGGAUUUUGAGGAAGAUGGUUGAGACCUCUCGAGAUUGGUCAGAAAAGCUUCCUUUUGCAUUGUGGGCAUACCGCACCUCUUUUCGCACUUCUACAGGAGCUACGCCUUACUCCCUAGUGUAUGGUAUGGAGGCUGUUUUGCCAGUCGAGACAGAGAUGGGCUCAUUGAGAGUAGCCCUUGAGCAGCAGAUUUCUGAGACAGAGUGGGCUCAGGCUCGAUUUGAUCAGCUUAACCUUUUAGAUGAGAGGAGAUUGAGAGCAAUAGAUCAUGUUCAGGCCUAUCAGAGAAAGAUGGCUCGUGCCUUCAAGAAACGAGUCAAGCCUAGACCAUUGCAAAAAGGGGACUUAGUUUUGAGGAUUCUCAGAGGUUUGAUUGGAGACCCUAGAGGAAAGUUUAGACCUAGUUGGAGUGGGCCUUAUGUUAUCCGGGAGUUGACUCCAAAAGGGGCUGCAUGGUUGACAGACUUAGAUGGAAACCAAUUUUCAGAGCCUACCAAUGUGGAUCAGCUGAAGAAGUAUUAUGUUUGAGACUGUGGUCGUAGGAUGGGUGGCCACCAUUUCGGUUAGCCUCAUACUUUAUCACCUCUAUAUAUUAGACCGUUGCUAGCCCAUUGAGCUUCGCAUGGUAUGUUAUAGCCUUAUUUCUUUCUUAUAGCUUUGAUUACCAUUUCUAUACCCGGGUUGGGGCCCUUUGAUGUAUAUGUAUGCUUUGCUAGGAAAGUCUCAUGAGCUUUAGACUUAUAGGUCUAUCUUCUCAUUUUGUUACCAUCCUCUUAUCACCCUAUUUGUUCUAUUUUAUUAUCACCACAUAUUCAUUCUCUUUCUUGUCCCUAUCAUUAUUUGCUUCAUCUUAUCUAUUCUCUUCCUUGGGUUGAUGAUUCUUCACGUCUUAGUGCAAGGAGGGUUGUCAUAUCACUCUAUUCAUUCCAUCAUUUGACAUUGAUUCGGAGAUUUUAGUUUGAGAGGUUAUCUCAGGGGUUGGGGUUCAUGUAUCCAUCAGUGGUCAGAGAGAGUUUGUUCAUUCCUUAUAUUUUUCCAUUGGAGUUUGAUUUAUUGAUGAUCAGAGCAUGCGCAAAAAAAAUCAAAAAAAAAAAAAAAAAAAAAAAAAAAAAAAAAAGCGCAAGGAUAUGCUCAUGUAUGGUAUCUCAUUCCAUUGGGUAUUUAUGCCACCUUUUGAGGUUCAUUUAUUGGGUAUAUUUGUCAUUAUGGGUUUUUGUGAGUUUUUAUGAGUUUUUUCAGUCCUUGAGCCACUCCUGUUAUGCAUUUGGAGUGUCGAGGGUUCAUAUGAGAGUUCUAUGAGAUCCUAUGCUUCUUAGAUCAUGAUUGAUAUAUUUUAGGUAUGAGAGAUGAGUGACCUUUUUACUAGGGUCUCCGGAUCAUUGUCUUAUACCCACCAUUCCAUCAUUGGUGAUAUGACUUUCCUUUAUUGUACUAACAUGGGUUGAUCAUCACUCAUUCCACUUUCCCAUUGUUUUCUUUUGUAUCCCAUUACCUCUUUCCAGAUCUUUGUUCCACCUUUUAUUCAUUCCUUACAUAUUGAUACCCAUUACUGAUUUGAUACCUUCUUGACAUCAUUCACAUAUUUCAUUGAUGGCUUGACCAUUCAUCCUUUCNNNNNNNNNNNNNNNNNNNNNNNNNNNNNNNNNNNNNNNNNNNNNNNNNNNNNNNNNNNNNNNNNNNNNNNNNNNNNNNNNNNNNNNNNNNNNNNNNNNNCCAUUCAUCAUUUCUCUCAUUCGUUAUCGACAUUCCCUUUGGUANUCUAAGUCCAUGACUCAUGAGAUUUUCUAUGCAUACAUCUGUGCACGAGGGUACGGGUUUGAUCAUUGGGUAUUUGAGCNUAGUUUCCCUUUCAUUUCUUUCACCCUAUCACCUUGACNUAUGUUACGUCCCGUGUCUUAAGACCACCCUGAGGCCAUGAGAUCAGACAUUAUCUUUGACAGUCUUCACUUGGACAGACUUUUGUAGAUUGGUUGAAGUAUGGUCGUUACUAUGUUAUCUUUUAUGGAAGAUACUUUUGGAAGCAUUUGGUCUCUCUCUUGCUUGGCAUAUUGAUGUUUGAUGGAUUUUUGGGUUUGGAGACAGUUCAUUGAGGAUAUUAGAUUCAUCAUUUGGUUGUACAUCAGAUAUCCAUACUAGGGCAUAUUCCCCUUUCAUUUGGUUGAGAUGAGCCCCUAGUGGAGCACUUUCUUUGAGUCUGGGUAUUUUCACCGAUCAGAGAUCCCUAGUGAGGUAUGUUGAGACUAUAUCAGUUCUAGUGGAGCAUCGUUGAGCCCCUAGUGAUUCCAUUCCCGGAAUACUUCUGAGAUAGACUAGUGGAUUAUUACUGAGUUGGAGGCAGUUUUCAGUGCAGUGUAUAGACCAGGCAUACUGGGGCAUAUUUCCCCAUUUUGAGGUUACCAGAUUCCUAUCAGAUUCAGUCAGGGAUUCAUCAGAGACAUGUUUCUAUUUUUGAGAUUACCACAUUUCUCAUCAUUUUGGCUAUUCAUUUGAGAUUAGAUUUAGAGUGUCUCCCUUGAGGCAUUGGUCGAUACAUCAUUCUGACUUCUUAGCGGAUUAUUGUUGAGCUGAGGAUAGUUGAUUGAUGAUGUCGGAUUCAUCCUUUGGUUGUGCAUCAUAUAUUCACACUGGGGCAUAUUCCCCCAUUCCUCCGAGAUUCUUAUCUGUUAUUGUAUACGGUACGAGGAUGGAUGAUCAUUGUUAGUUUGUUUACCUCACGACUUCGACAUUAGAUUAUCCACACUGAGGCAUAUUCCACUCUCCUUGAUGAGAUUGUGUUUGGACAGCGAUACGAGGAUGGAUGAUCAUUGUUAAUUUGUUUGCCUCACGACUUCGACAUCCGAUAUCCAUACUGGGGCAUAUUCCCCUCUCCAUUACGAGAUUUAUUUGGGCAGUGAUAUGAGGAUGGAUGACUGGUGUCGGUUGUUUAGCUUAUGACUUUGACGUUAGAUCUUAUACUGGGGCAUAUUUCCCCCAUUUUCUUUGAGUAUCCUUGAGAUUGAGACAGUGGCCAGCUUGGUUUUAGAUUGAGCACUAGCCUAGAGCUUCCGACGAUCGACUGUAUCAGGGCCUCCCUACAUGGAUUUGUUGAGAUAGAGACGGAUCGCAUCAGGUUUCACCCGAGGAGUGUGGGUGGAUCCUUUAGCCAGAUGUUCAUGAGACAGAUUUAUUUUCGUCAUUGUUACCUUGUAGAUUGGAUUAUCCAGAUGAGCAGUAUUUUACACACUUUGAGGUUUACUUUUAGAUGAGCCAUGAUAUACACUCUUUGAGAUUUACCUUUUGAGAUUCAUCGACAGAGCAGCUUUUCAGACAUAGAGGGUUUCUUCAGUUUAGACUUUUCAGAGGUUUGUCACGAUGCAUCAGUUUCUGACCUAUUGAUUUCAGCGGAUGAUUGAUUUACUGGUUGUUUCGGCAGUGUGAGCACCCUGGAUACUGGGGCAUAUUUCCCUUCUUAGUUUCAGUAGUCCGACCCUUGACAUUUUGAGUAUGUGGCUUUGAGCCAAUUUAUUUCAUGUCCACUUUCAAGUUGGUCUUCUCUAUUAUUCCCUUCUAGGCCCUGAGCCUCAUAGCUUUGAGUUAUUCAUUCCUUCUAGACCCCGAGUCUUAUAGCCUUGAGCAUCCUUUUUCCCUUAGGCCCUGAGCCCGCUAGCCCUGAGCUAUCAUUUCCUAUAGACCCAGAGUCUUUCCAGCUCUUAGCUGAGCUUUCAUCACUUGGUCGCCCAUGAGUGGUUUGACCUGGAGUUUGCGUAUCGCAUUCUCCUUCUAGCCGAUCAGUCAUAGAGCCCUGAGCUAUUCAUCGACCCAGAGUCAUUUUCCAUCUUGACCCAGAGUCAUUCAUAGCACCUCGAGCCCUGAGCUCACGACCCGGAGUCAUUUGCAUUAUUCACAUCCCUAAGAUGUUUCGUUUUCAUCAUUCUAGCCACUUGUGAGUGGCCUCGACCCGACAUCUUGAGUCGGAAAGUAUCCUGAUCGGCUAUCUAUUUAGAGCCCGGAGCUCUCGACCCAGAGUCACUUUCCAUUUCGACCCAGAGUCAUUGUUUCCUAUUUUAGAGCCCGGAGCUCUCGACCCAGAGUCACUUUCCAUUUCGACCCAGAGUCAUUCUUUCCUAUUUUAGAGCUUAGAGCUCUCGACCCAGAGUCACUUUCCAUUUCGACCCAGAGUCAUUGUUUCCUAUUUUAGAGCCCGGAGCUCUCGACCCAGAGUCACUUUCCAUUUCGACCCAGAGUCAUUAUUUCCUAUUUUAGAGCCCGGAGCUCUCGACCCAGAGUCACUUUCCAUUUCGAACCAGAGUCAUUCUUUNNNNNNNNNNNNNNNNNNNNNNNNNNNNNNNNNNNNNNNNNNNNNNNNNNNNNNNNNNNNNNNNNNNNNNNNNNNNNNNNNNNNNNNNNNNNNNNNNNNNAGCUUUUAGAAUACACUUGGCCCAUUAGGCACUACCCUAGGCCCACUUAGUCUCACUUUAGACCCGUUUAGGCACACUAGGCCUACGAAGACUUUAUUUAUUUAUUUAUUUAUUAUUUAUUUAUUUAUUUGGUUUUUAGUUUUAAUUUUAUGAUUAUCAUUCACUUUUUAUUGGUUAUCUUCCUCUUUAUAUCAUUUUCCUUAACUUAUUUAUUUAUUUAUUAUUUUUACCAUUUUUUAAUUUAUUUACUUAUUUAUCUAUUCAUGCAAUUAUUUAACUUCAAAAAUUUCAUGUUUUUGCAAGGAAACUUACCAUUGGAGUUUAAGGAAGGCGGGACUCUCCUUGGAAGGUUUUGGAGGGGAAUUUGAAAUUGGGAAGAUUGCUUUUGAUUGGAGGAUUUAAAAAAAGAAGAGAAGAAGAAAGGAAAGAGGAUAAUUUUCCUUUUUGGAAACAAAUUUAGGUCUUGAGGGGUGAUAUAUAUAGGUGAGAAAAGGAAAAGAAUAGGGGGAUUUUUCUAGGGGGGCAGGGCACACGGAAUUUUGAAAAAAAAGCAAGGGACUUCGAACGGAGCUCGGGCUGUCAUUUAAUCAUCAAGAGAGGAUUUUCUCUUUCACUUCAAAGGUUAGUUUUCUAUAUAGUACUUUUAUUUAGCCUAGAUUUUUUUUUUUUUUUUUUUUUUUGGAAGUUUUAGUUUUUGAUUAAUUCUUUGUGUUAAAGUUUAUAUUAUUUUCUUUUUAAAUCCCCAAUUAGUUUAAUUCUAAUCUAUCUUUUAGUUUAAGUUUGUUAAUGAUUUUAAUUCUUAAGUUUAAAUAAUCCUAUCGAAUAAAGUUUGUAUUUUUAAUCCCAAUUAGUUUGAUUUUAAUUUGUUUUUUAGUUUAAAUAUAUUUUGUUGAUCUUAAUUCUUGACUUUAAAUAAUCACGUUAAAUAAAGUUUGUGUUUUUAAUCUCAAUUAGUUUGAUUUCAAUUCGUUUUUAGUUUAAAUACAUUUUGCUGAUCUUAAUUCUUUAGUUUAAAUAAUCAUAUCGAAUAAAGUUUGUAUUUUUAAUCCCAAUUAGUUUGAUUUUAAUUUGUUUUUUAGUUUAAAUGUAUUUUGUUGAUCUUAAUUCUUUACUUUAAAUAAUCACGUUAAAUAAAGUUUAUGUUUUUAAUCUCAAUUAGUUUGAUUUCAAUUCGUUUUUAGUUUAAAUACAUUUUAUUGAUCUUAAUUCUUAAGUUUAAAUAAUCAUAUCGAAUAAAGUUUGUAUUUUUAAUCCCAAUUAGUUUGAUUUUAACUUGUUUUUUAGUUUAAAUGUAUUUUGUUGAUUUUAAUUCUUAAGUUUAAAUAAUUGUAUUGAAUAAAGUUUGUAUUUUUAAUCCCAAUUAGUUUGAUUUCAAUUCAUUUUUAAUUUAAAUGCAUUAGUUGAUCUUAAUUCUUUGUUUUAAAUAAUCACGUUAAAUAAAGCUUGUAUUUUUAAUCCCAAUUAAUUUGAUUUCAAUUCGUUUUUUAGUUUAAAUAUAUUUUGUUGAUCUUAAUUCUUGACUUUUAAUAAUCACGUUAAAUAAAGUUUGUGUUUUUAAUCUCAAUUAGUUUGAUUUCAAUUCGUUUUUAGUUUAAAUACAUUUUGUUGAUCUUAAUUCUUAAGUUUAAAUAAUCAUAUCGAAUAAAUUUUGUAUUUUUAAUCCCAAUUAAUUUGAUUUUAAUUCGUUUUUAGUUUAAAUGUAUUUUGUUGAUUUUAAUUCUUUACUUUAAAUAAUCACGUUAAAUAAAGUUUGUGUUUUUAAUCUCAAUUAGUUUGAUUUCAAUUCGUUUUUAGUUUAAAUGCAUUAGUUGAUCUUAAUUCUUAAGUUUAAAUAAUUAUGUUAGAUAAAGUUCAUGUUUUUAAUCCCAAAAUAGUUUAUUUUUAAUUUAUUUGUUAGUUUAAAUAUGUAUGUGAUUUUAAUUUAUUAGUUUAAAUAAUCAUGUUAGAUAAAGUUUAUAUUUUUUUUAAUUCUAAAUUAGUUCAGUUUUAACCUAUCUUUUAGUUUAAGUAUAUUUGUGAUUUUAAUUCAUUAGUUUAAAUAAUCUUGUUAGAUAAAGUUCAUAUUUGAAAUUCCGAUUUAGUUUAGCUUUUAUUUAUUUUUAAUUUGGAUGUGUUUGUAAUUGUAAUUUAGUAGUUUAAUUAAUCUUAUUAAAUAAAGUUCAUGUUUUUAAUUACAAUUUAAUUUAGUUUUAAUUUGUUCUUCACUUGUAUGUGUUUGUGAUUUGAAUACAUUAGUUUAAUUAAUCCCGUUAGAUAAAGUUUAAUCUUGAUUUAAUUUAUUUUUUUAGUCUAGAGGCAUUUAUGUGUUUAGUUAAUCUUAUGUUAAUUAUGGAUUGUUAUUCUCAAUUUAUGCGCUUCUUGAAUCCUUGUUGCUAAUUCUUGAUGGAUAUUUCAUUAGCUUAUUUGAUCUAAAUAUUAAUAAUUUAUUGCUUUGAUAGUUUCCUUUUUGUUCAAAGGCCAUUGGAAAAUCAUGAAGAUUGGCCUCUACCAUCACCAUUAUCAUUUUUGUUAAUUACUAAAAAAAUUUUACUUUGAGGUUUCAUUUUUGUUUUGUUGGGUAUUUUAUUUCUUAUAUUUUAUUUUUUCCAAAUUAAUUCCUUUUAUUUUAAAAUAAAAUACUUUUCUCAAAAAAAUCAUUUUAAAAAUCUAUUUCAAAAACUCAUUUAGAGUCCUCAAGAUCAAAAUCUUUUUUUUUUUAUUAUUUAAAAAUAAUAUGCAACCAUAUCUUGUUCGGUUUGCAUCCUUCUCGGUUUUCAACAAAAAUUUUGGUUUUGAACAAAAACACGAAUCAAAGCUUGUGGUCCCAAAUAAUGGGAUAAUUCUGGGCUAAAUUUGUGUAUAUUAAUUUGGGGAAUUGGUGAAACCCCUACAUAAGAAAAUCUUUUCAAAAAUUAUUUUUGUUGCCAUCUUUGUCACUUGUUGAAAUUAUGUCUAUUUUUUUUAGGAAUUGUAUACAUGAUGAGUGUGAUAAUUAAUGUUUUCAUAUGCUUUGAUAAUUUUUGUUAUGCUAAUUAGAUAACAAGCAUGCUAGGGUUUCUUUAUUUUAUUAUUAUCUAAUCCCUCAUGUCUUAUGGAAGCGCAUUGUAAGUUAUCUAUGCUAUCCAGGUACGCCCCCUAAUGACCUACUUUCUAAAUUUCGUAAACAAUCAUGUCACUGUGAAGUAUGCAUAUGUUUGAUAAUCCUUAGGUGUUUAGAUGUAUGCUUGAUUCACUAUGAUUAAAUACAUGUUGUGUGUUAUACUUCUAUAUUAACUCUGAUGUUUUAUGAUAGCGCUUGAAGAGCGGUUCAGGUACGCACCCUAACUCUCAGUUUUUGUGAUUUGAUCUUGUUUAGCAUGCAAAUCUUUUGAAAUCACCUAGUCUACCUAGGUAUCCAUAAUUAACCGAUUAAUUGCCAUAUUCCCCUUAACUUAAUUAGUAGAGACCUUUUUAGGGCUUAGAAGGGUGCUACCUCUUAGAGGUACCUUCCCAAUAAGUAACCUGAUUCCCGGACCAAGACUUGGGUUUUCAAAGACACGCUUUUCCAAAAAUUAUGGAGUCAUUUUUUUUAGGGUUUUAUUUCUUGUUUUAUUUUCCCUUCAAAAAUAAAAAUAAAAUAAGUGGCGACUCCAACUUUUUUUUUUCAAAAAUCAAUUUUUCACAAAAUAAUAAAAAGCGAGUCUCGCCGAUCGAGUGGGGGCGCACGUGAAAAAUGCGGGUCCACACAUUGGAAGAAUUAUAUCUGGAUGGGAACCAUUUCAGUAGUCUACCUGCUGGCAUCAAUCGACUUACCAAUCUAAGAGUCCUUGACUUGAGUCACUGCAAGAACCUUCAACAAAUUCCAGAGCUUCCAUCAAGUCUACGUUUCUUAGAUGCGCAUUGUUCGGGUGGUAUUUCAUCAAGGCCCUCGCCUCUGCCUAUUCAUUCUAUGGUCAAUUGCUUCAAACCAGAAAUUCCGGUAUGAUUCUCAUGCCAGGUUCCUUUUUCUUUUGUGCCCAUUGAAUUUACAUGGUGCUUUUGUGCAGGUACCCAGGAUUCAUGCUGGUUGUACAUUCUUUGUAGGCAAUGGAAUUAGCAUUGUUGUUCCUAGAAGUAGUGGAAUUCUAGAGUGGAUAAGGUAUCAGAGUAUGGGAGGUUAUAAAGUAACAAUAGAGCUCCCCCCGAAUUGGUAUGAAAAUAAGGAAUUGUUGGGAUUUGCUUUAUGCUGUGUUUAUGAAUCCAACAAUGGAUUUGUCUUUGAGUCUCGGUAUGAAUCAACUGAUACAUCUGAUAAUGAGCCUGACAAUGGAUCUGCAUAUGAAUCUCAGCAUGAAUCAGCUGAUACAUCUAAUAAUGAACCUGACAAUGGAUCUGCCUAUAAAUCAGCUGAUACAUCUGAUAAUGAACCUGACAAUGGAUCUGCCUAUGAAUCUACCUAUGAAUCUCAGAAUGAAUCAGCUGAUACUUCUAAUAAUGAACCCACCAAUGGAUCUGCCUAUGAAUCUGAAAAUGAAACAGCUCAUACAUCUGAUAAUGAAGAACCAGUGGAGUUCUAUUGUAAUUUGAGUAUCCGAGGAAAUAAUCAAUCAACAGUCGUGGAUUCUUUCAAAUUGGGUUCUUACUGUGCUAAUGAUGUUGCAUCAGAUAUAGUGUGGGUGAUAUUUUAUCCCAAGGUAGCUUUUAAGGAAGCUAUUAAGGAAUGGUAUCGCUCUAAUCAAUGGACACACUUUAUGGCUUCAUUUGGCGGUUUCGGAAGAGUGGAACAGUGCAUGAUCCGUCUUAUAUAUGCAGAAGAUUAGGAACAAAAGCAUCCAAAAAUGGCGCAAGACAGUUCUUCUCAUGGGAGUUUUGGUGAGCAUGGAUCAGCAACAGAAGAUACUAAUAGUAAAGCUCAUAAUAAAAGGAAUCCCACAGAACAGAGCCGAUGAGAGGAGUCACACCAUAAAAGAUUCAGAGGAACCCAAGACUGAUCUCAAGUUUUAUGCUCAACCACACUGGCAUCACCAAUGUUCUCUUUACUGGUAAUUCAUCUUCCUUUCUCUUU